RNAcentral lists this long non-coding RNA (67451 nucleotides) under Gossypium barbadense (sea-island cotton). Its description in RNAcentral is "long non-coding RNA (GBAR_LNC016246)". The record is from RNAcentral. Lineage: Eukaryota; Viridiplantae; Streptophyta; Magnoliopsida; Malvales; Malvaceae.
UUCUUCUUCUGUAAAUGGUCUUCUGUUGAUUCUAGGGUCAAGUUGAUUAAACCACCUCAAUCUGCAGCUCUUCCCUGUGGAAACAUAUGCAUAAAGAUUAAGCCAUAUGGAUAUGGGGGUAAAUAUUUGCAUAAGUGUAUAUUAUAUAUACUUACACUCUAAAAUUAAAGGGAAAGAGAGGAAGAGAUCAUCCUUUAGUUUAUCAUGAGUUCAUGAUUGUAGAUCAGAAGCAAAUUAAUUAUUAAUCAUGCAUAUCUUCUCCUGUGCUAUUGAAACUUAAGAGACUAUAAUUAAUUAAAAAAGGUUGGUUAAGUAGGUAGAUGAGAAAUAUUUGACAUAUGUGAAGAAAAAUGAAAUCUAAAAAUAUACUAAUCAACAACCUAUAUGAUCACACCAACUCAAUCAUGGCGGAAGAAACAUCUUUUUCUGAUUUAAUCUUAAGUUUUGAAGCAGCUUAUUAAAAUUUUGCAUGCUUCUACAUCAUACUUUUAACAAAUUCCCCUAAAGACUAUAUUUAAAAGAAAGUUAAACCAAGUUAGAGGAUCAAGAAAUAGCUUAUAAAUUAACCAAGACUCUAAUAUAUUCCAACAGUAAUGAAUUAUAAAAUGAUCACCUGAUCUUCCUUGGAGCUUUUCUGCAAUAGAGUUCCAGUUUUGUGCACCAUACUGUUCAACAAGUUGCCUGAGCUUUUCAUCUUCAGCUGGCCUCCAGUGUCCUCUAGGACAAGUCUUGUUGACAUCAUCACUAGAAGCAGCUCCUGAAUCCUCCAUGGAUAUAACUGAUAUAGAUAGAUAUAUGUUAAUCACAAGCUAGCUAUGGGAGAGCUGUAAAAUUAUUUGUCAACAAGCACAACAAAAAGGAAGCCCCCAAGAAGAUAUAUAUAUAAAGGAGGUAGCAAGGAGAAAGGGGGGAAAAUAAUGAAGAGAGAAUAACAAGAAAGUGCGGUUGGUUUAGGGUUGUGGAUGAGAAGUCACUUUUGUUGGUUUUACACGACACAUUAAGCCCUAUAUGUAUGCAUCUGUAGAACCACUGACUGACUUACCCUUUCUUUCAACUGUUAUGCUAUUGGCCCAUGAACCACUCUUUAUAUAUCAAUAUUUUCCCAACUAUGUCUAUCACACACACACACACACACACACAUAUAUUGCUUUCUUAAUUAAUUGCUUCCCUCAAUUUCUCUCUCACUUACAAGUUUAAGCCAUGGUAUUACGUUAAAUCAAGCCUGGUGAUUAGGGCAGCUAGUAGUUUUUAUUAAAGGGACAGCUCUCCUGGUCCAAAUUCAUUAACAAGGGAUCAUGAUUCAUAUUCAUGAUUUAUCACCUUUAAUAUACUUUUAUUUCGUUUUCGAAGGGUGUUUUGUCAUGCAUAUAGUGCAUGGAUGCUGCACCUUCACAUUAUUAAUCAAUACUCACCCUUUUAUUUUUAAUUACCCUGUUAGCAUGAAAAAUUGUCAAGUAUCUUAUUUGUAUAGCUGUGAAUUACAUCAAUUUCAAACUUAGUUAACAUUCGAAACCCCUAAUUAUCAAGAACGAAACUCAACUAAAACAAAAUGCACUGUGGGUUGUUAUGGACAAAAAGAUACCUUAAUGACCAAUAAGUUCACUUGAAGAAAAUGAUCAACUAAUAAUACAUAAAUAAGGGUUAAAGAUUGAAAUUUUCUAUGAAAUUGCAUCUGGAAUCACAUAGUUAAGUUGAAAUCAGUGGGAAAAAAAGGUAGGUAAAAUUGGAAGCUGUCAUAUACCAGAAUCGGGAACAAGAUAAUAAAUUAUGAUAAGCAAGCAUUUUAAAGCAUGCACAUGCAUGCACUAUGCUAAAUCAGAUGAAUAUUCCUAAUAUAGGGAUUUCAUUUGUUUGUUUUUUGACAUGAUUAUUUUUUAUUUCCAGAAAGAGUUGCUCUCUUUGUUAUACCGACUUAAAAUCAGCCAUUUUCAGUUGAAAGACAUCAAGUUUUAAGUAUUUUAACAAUGUUAAGCUAGCUGUCCAAGUAAUUAUAUCUUUUCAGUCUAUAUGAAUGCUUCAAAGUAGACUACGGUCUAAGAAGCAUGGAAUACAGGUAUGAGAUGAUACGGUUCAAGGUUUAACAUAAUUUGGUUUCUGACUUACGAUACAUGUAUUUGACAAAAGUUAUGCAUUUUAAUAUUUAAAGGUAAUAAUGUUAACUUUUUAGUAUUUAAUUUAGAUUUUAGAGUUGAUUUGUUGAAAACUCUUAAUUGGUUAAUUAAAUCAUAUCCAUCAUAUUGUAUUUGACAAAUUAAAUGUAAAAUUAAACAAAUUCACAAUUAGCAUUAAAUUUAUUUUAUUAACAAAAUCAUGAAAACUCCAAACCUAAUAAUAUUAGCAAUUAACUUUUACCAAAUUAAUUCUAAAACUCAAAUUAAACACUAAAAAGUUAACACCAUUACCUUUGGUACCAAUAUAUAUAUAUUUCAAAUAUAAGUAUCAAAUUGGACAAAAAAUAACAUAGGUAUCACAUUAGAAGAAUGUGUCAAACUAGGGUACCAAAUUCUAUAUUAAGGCAAAAUUUAAACAUUAUGUGUGGAUAUGAUCAAUGUGAAGCCAAAAAUCAUUUUAGGAAGUUAAAUUUGAAUUAUAAUUUUUUGGGAGAGCUAAAAUAUAGUUUUACCGUUGUAUUAACUUUGUGUGUGUAUAUAUAUAUAUUAAUUUUACAGAGACCAAAAAAAUUUACAGAGACUUUAAGGCAAUUUUAUCAUUUUGAGGGGCCACCGCCACCACCAAUAUUCCUCUAAGAUAUGCCACCAGGUAUGAUAUAGUAUGAAAAUAAAAAAUAAUUUAUAGAAUAAAAAUGUAAAAAAUAUAUAUAUUUAUGAAAAUUUUAUAUUAAAACCAAGUGAGUCAUUGUUUGAAAUUGUUAACUUAAAAAUUUAGAAUUCAUGUGUUCCAAAUUUAAAUCCCAUUAUAAUAAUAUUUUAUUAAAAAUAUGAAAAAAUAAAAAUACCCUAAUAUUAAUAUAAGUUAUUUUGCAUAUAAAAGGGUAUUUCAACCAUUUUCUAAUUGAGUUGGUACAAGGGCAGCACUAGAGGAGCCCAAGUAGGGGCCAUGGACCCCUAAAAUAGAAAAUUUGUGUUUUAACCCCUCUAAAAUCCAAAAAAUUAUAAAUUAAUACAUGAUAAAAUUAUAUUUUUGAGCUAACAAGGAAAAUAAUACAUUUUGGCUCUCAUAAAAAAUUAAUUUAAUUUUAACUUAAAAUUGAUAUUAAUUUUGGUGUAAAAUUAAGAAAUUUGGAUUGCCAUGUAUUUUGUUAAAUAAAAUUUGGAUUUAUGCAUUGGAAUAAAUUUGUUGAUUGAUGAAAAAGAAAAUAAUCCUUGUUCGUAUGACCAGGUGUGUCUAACAAGACCUAUUCUGGAACCAGCAGUUAGUUUGUUCAACAUUCCUUAAUAUUUUGAUGAUAAUAACAAAUUUAUAUGACAAGACAAAAGAAGCUUACUUCCUGCUUUGUCUUCAUAUAUUAUAUUACUUUUCCCCCAUAGUAAAAAUAGUAUACGUAAUUUCUUCAACAAAGUCCUCCCCGAUGCCUGGCAUUGCACGCUUGUCUUUCUUGUUAUAGCAAUAACAUGUCAAACCAAGCAUAAGUAAUAUUUAAAUAGCAAACUACAGAGACUAUUUCAAUUUUAUGUCGAGGUUCACAAUACUGAUGGAUCCAAAAUAAUUGUGCGCUCAUAAUCUAAACCUUUAAGUUUGUUGUCCAAUGAUGCCUAUAAAGCAAUGAAUAGUUGGGAGAAAAUGACAUAAAUAACAGUUGGGGCAUAAUAAUAAUAAUAAUAAUAAUAAUAAUAAUAAUAAUAAUAAUAAUAAUGUUAGAGAAGAUUAUUGGUGAUGAGGAAAUGUAAUCUUACACACAAGGGUUAAAGCAAAUGCCGUGCAAGGAGGGCAUCAAGAAAAGUAUGGGUAAACCGUCUGCCUUUUUUCAUACUUGCAUGCAGAUGGCAAGUCAAAUACAAACGUUGAAACAUUAUCAUGUUGAAAAUAUAAGUAGCUAUUUUAUAAAGAAAAUUAUUGGCUUUUCUUAACUGAUUGAGAUUUUAUACCCAUGAAAUUAAAACAUCUCAAAUCGCUUCUAAAUCCAUUAACAUCAUCAGGUGUAGUAGAUGUAGAACCCUGACGUUCUUAAUGUAGAAGGUAUGUAAAUUGGUGUCUAAUUCUAAUUCGUUGAUGGUGUUAGUUUAUCUAUACUCCGUAUUCCAUCACACUUGUAUCAUUUAUAAACCAAAAUAGAAAGGAUUAAUAAUGUUCAUUUCAUUAGUUAAUAGAAACCCAAACUCGAUCCCCAAUAACCAAUUACAUGAUCAUGUGCGACUUUGUACACCCCCCCCCCCCAACAUCUCCAUAUUAUUCUAUUUUAAAUUUCAACAUCAUUCAUCUAUCCAUCCAAACUGUUUAAUGCUUAAAGCUCAUUUGAUAUGUUGUUGAACCCUUUGUGAUGACUAUGAGGACGAUGAAUUAGUUUUUGGGUAGGUAGGGGAGGUUGUCGAUCAGGUUUCAUGUACAAAUCAGUAUAAUAAACCCAGAGAUCAAAGUUUUUGGAGUGUAUUGCAAUUUUAGAAAUUUCCUACUGAUAUAGAACAACCUCAAAACCGCCCUCUUUAACUCUUAUGCUUGACUUCAGAUUUGUGUGUAUAUAUAUAGCACAAAUGACCAUUUCGUUGAUGUUUCUUUCUGCCAGUAUAGCAGCUUGAGGGACAUGAUUGAAUGAUGCCAACUGACCGGUGAAUCUCAAAGCAACUUUAAGAAGGAAUGACUUGUAAUAGUAAUGAUUGCAAAAUGAUAUAUUAAUAAAGUCUCUUUGUUAAUGACAUUUAAAGCAAUCUAAUUUUCAAAUAUAAUACUUAUAUAUUUAUAUUUAAUGCACAUCAAUAUAUAAAUUGUUAUACAUCUAUUAGAAUACGACACGUGGUAAGCUAUUGGACAAUUCACAAAGCGAUAACCCUCCACGAGGAAUGGUUCGUAGGUGACCUCCACGAGGAAUAAUUUGCGAGCAAGCCUUCAUGUGGGACGGUUCGUAGACGACUUUGCAUGAACCCUUUCUAAGUCAACCUAGAUACAGUCCGCUACACACCCCUCGCUAGGACCACCAAGGCAUACCUGCCUCAUACGACCUUAAGGAUGGAAAUGAUAGAGCAAGACCACAUAGUACACUCCAUGGCAACAACGAACCUACAACAACACUGCCACCUAGCCAACCCGCACAACCAUGUAGGACACAGUGUUGUCGACUAUGUCUUACUAUAGGACAAGGGGUGACCCCUCUAUAUAAGCCUGAGUGCAUAAAAGGCCAAUGAUCGACUUCUCUCCCUAGUAACCCUUACAUAGCAACCCUAGUGCAUCCUCCUCCUUCCUCAUAACACCGACUCUUCGACAACCACAGAUGAAUCGACACUCUUCUCCACCAUCCUUUCCUCCCUAUUGAUAACUCAUACCAACAUAAAUUUAAAUAUGAUUAAUUACAUGAUGGAUAUUGUUGGGGAUCAACCCGAUUAAGCAACGAACAAGUAAAAAUAGCGGAAGAAAUUGAGAAAUUAAACACACAAAUUGAACGUGAAAAACCCCCUCCAAAGAGGAUAAAAAACCACGGGUAAAGAUAAUUUUACUAUAAUGACAAAAUAACGAAAAGUACAAAAGAUGGAGAUAAAAACUAAACUCCGAAACUCGAAAACAAAGAACCCUUAAAAUGUAAACACAAAAUUCUCCAAAUGUGUUAUGAGUUCUAAUCUCUAAUGGGUGUGAAUUCUAAGGUUGUAAAAGAGCCUAUUUAUAGGCUAAAUUCAUAGGUCAAAUAAUAAUAAAAUAAUCUAGACUAAUCAGAGUUUGAUUGAAACAAAUAAAUAGAGUUUAAUUAGAAGAUUAUUUAUCAAAUUUGACUGAAAUAGGAGUCAUACUCAACAAAUCUCCACAUUGACUCAUAUUUCCACAAUGUCAUCUUCGUCAAAGCCCUCAACGAGCCUAUCUUUAACUAUGCAGGGAAUUAACUGAGUUGAAUCUGUGCUUAGAAACUAGAAGACUUCUAGCCUUCGACUUGUACACUGCCAAAUCAAAACUAACCCAGGUCUGAUUUUCACGAACAUAGUGUCCUAACUUUUCAAAACCUGCACCUAAAAGAGAACCUCUCUUCAACGAAACGAUCAUACCUUUUUCCCUCCUAUGACCAAGUUGCCUCUGCUCUAAACGAGUUGACUUCGACUCCGUAACAAACGAGGGACGUUCGAUUUCACCGGUCACUGUAGAACCUUCUAGAAUAUAAAGACUACCAGUUCUUUUACCUUUUAACAAAAUGAGAGCUCCACGAGAUACUUUAAUGUCGCUCGACUCGAUGUUGAUUUUACAUCCUUUCAAGUCUAAAAUACUCAAGGAGAUGAGAUUCUUUUGUAAAUCAGGUACAUACUUGACAUAUGAGAGUGUCCUAAUCGUCCCAUCGUGCAUUCUAAUUUUAACAGUACCAAUACCAAUUACCUUACUGGAUGAAUCAUUUCUCAUGCACACAACUCCACAUUCAAUUGAACUGUAUGUGGAGAACCAUUCUCUAUUGGGACACAUGUAGAAAGAACAUCCUAAAUCUAGAAUCCACUCAGACGUAAGCUCGGAGCUUUCGCUCGUUGACACUAACAAAAAUCAUCACCGCUUUCGUCGGCCAAAUUAGCAUCAGCUACAUCUUCCCCAUUACUCUCAACAUCUCUUUUGUUUCGCAGUUUAUACCAAUUUGCUUUGACGUGACCUAACUUUUUUACAAUAGCGACACCAUUUGUCUCGCUUCUUUGAUGCUACCAAAACUUAAGCUUGUCUAUCUGCCUUGCCAUCCAAACCAAACUCAUUGUCGAGUUUGUCUCUACUCAACAAAUAACCCUUCACAUCUUCGAACGAGAGUUUGUCUCUGCUAUAAAUCAGGGUCUCCCUAAAAGACUUGUAUGAAGGGGGUAAAGAGCACAAUAAUAGCAUAGUUUGAUCUUUAUCUCAAUCUGAACGUCAACGUUUUUAAAUCAUUUAAAAGAGUAAUGAAUUGACUGAUGUGAUAUCUAAGAAGCUUACAUUCGUUCAUGCGAAACAUAAAUAGACGUUGUUUCAACACUAAACAAUUAGUCAGAGACUUAGUUGCAUAAAGAGUUUCUAACCUUUUCCACAAGGCGGAUGAGGUCUUCUCCAUCAAUACCUCCGGCAAUACCAUAUUUGCGAGGCAUAACUGGAUUGCAGACAAAGUCUUUUCAUCAAGUUCUUCCCAUUCUGUUUGAUUUAGAUUCUCAGGCUUUUUCUUGGUAACAACUUUUUUCAAGUCAGUUUGAACUAAAAUUGUCAUCAUCCGAACUUGCCAUAGAUUGAAAUUUGUCUCACCAUCGAACUUCUCAAAUUCAAACCUUGUUGCUAUCAUCUCUGAACAGACUGAUCUAUAAAAAUUGAACUAGCUCUGAUACCACUUGUUGGGGAUCGACCAGAUUAAGCAAUAAACAAAUAAAAAUAGCAGAAGAAGUUGAAAAAUUGAACACACAAAUUUAACGUGGAAAAACCACUCCAAAGAGAAUAAAAAACCACGGGCAAAAAUAAUUUUACUAUAAUGACAAAAGAACAAUGAGUACAAAAGAUGGAGAUAAAAACUAAACCCCGAAACCCAAAAACAAAGAACCCUUAAAACGUAAACACAAAAUUCUUUAAAUGUGUUAUGAGUUCUAAUCUCUAAUGGGUGUGAAUUCUAAAGUUGUAAAAGAGCCUAUUUAUAGGCUAAAUUUAUAGGUCAAAUAAUAAUAAAAUGAUCUAGACUAAUCAGAGUUUAAUUGAAGCAAAUAAACAGAAUUUAAUUAGAAGAUUAUUUCUCAAAUUUGACUGAAAUAGGAGUCAUACGCAACAGAUAUAUUUAAUUAUCUUCGAAAAUGUCUGGUUUUUUGAAGUGCUACAAGAAAUGUUGCUUGAAUUAUUGGAAUAGUUUAUUUAACACUAAUAAUAACAAGUAAAGAACAAAGCACACUAGUGCACUAAGAAUUAUGUAUGUAGUUCGGUACAUAAACCUACAUUUGCAAAGUCUCACCUAAAAAAUGAUCCUCUCUAUUAAGUCGAUAGUAGGUUAAAUUCAAAGGAUAAUCCUCGUACUUAUCAAUUUACGUGUAUUUAGCCCAUCUAUCUUUAUUCGCUCAAAGUUUGUCCCUCUAUUUUUCGAUUUGCUUAUUUUCAGCCAUUCUGUUAACUGAUUUCAUUAACUCUGUUAAAAAAAGGUCAAUCACAAAUAUAGCCCCUCAACCUUUACAAUUUUUGUCAAUUCAGUUGUUACUCUUUUUUUUUCCUUUAAUUAUAAAUUUUUUUUAAAAAAUUAUUAAGAUUUCCCAAAUGUGUUAACAAGUUAAAUAUAGAAAAUACCAAAACUUACUAUUGAUCAUUAUCACUAGAAAUUUUAACCUGGGUGAUAACAAGUACCAUACAUAUCUAUAAAAAAUAAUAAGAAAAUUAACAUUGAUAAAUAUAAAUGUUAAUAAAUGAUGUCAUGACCAACCCCUCUUAUUGAAUCUAAAUGACUUUGAUGUAUCCUAGAGAUAUAAUAGAUUUGAGAACUGCAAACUAACUAAGCACUCGUCUCUUUGGUCUUCAAAAAUUUUACAUCCUAGAAAUACAAAAUAGGAUCUUGUCUUUUGCUUGUCUUUGCUUUGAUUGGACAUGGCUUGCUUUUAUCACAUGGAAACUCAAACAAAUUUCCAUGAUUUUAUGAAAAAUAGAUUGGUCAUUGUUUGAAUCAAUGUUAUGCACUUACUCUUAUAAAUUGAAGGCAUAAUUCAAGCUUAUUUUGGACUCAUUAAAAGAGGGACUGGUCAGAACAUUAUUUAUAAACAUUUAGAUUUAUCAACACUAAACUUGUAAUGAUUUUUGCUAAAUAUAUACCGUACUUGUUACUGAAUGAGAAUUGCAAGUUAAAUCUUUAGUAGUGAUUAAUAAUAAAUUUUGGUUUUUUUCUUCUAUCUUUGAUUUGUUGAUGUGUUUGGAAAAUUUUAUAAAUUUUUAACUAGUCUAUAAAUUUUUUUUAUUUGAAUAUAAUUUUUUAUAAUUUUCUAUAAACAGAAAAAAAAGAGUGAGGGUUAAAUUAAUUGACAAAAAUUGUAAAGGUUAAGGAGCUAAAUUUGUGAUUAUACCUAAUUUGUAAAUAGAGUUAACGGAGAAAGAUAAUGGAAUGACCUAAAAUGACCAAUUAAAAAAGUAGAGGGACAAAUUUUAAGCAAUAAAAGUAGAGGAACUAAAUUUACACAAAUCGAUAAGUAUAAGGACUAUCCUUAGAAUUUAACCCCAUAAUACAUCCACCAAUUUAAGCCUAAUCAAUUUUAGGACUAUCACAACCUCAACGUCAUACACUUCUAAGUAGACACUAACAAAAAACUCUUGUUUUCAAGUACCUUCUUACUAAAAGAAACAAAAUACUUAUCUCACAAAACGCGCCAAGAAAGAAAACUCAUUUUGAGUAAUUUUAAUGCUCUCAAAUCAUGUUAUUCAUUGAAGAUUGUAGUUUAUAGACUACAAUCAACUAGUAAAUCUCAUUAAAUUAUCCCUCCUAAUCUGCAAGACAAAAAGAUAGCAAGAUAAUCCUUUUAACCACUCUAUAUUUUCCAUAAAUCAACCAUAUCCUCUUCAAGUAAGCUUUUCGUUUUGUGCUAGAACUGACCCAUACUUCAUUGGUCCCCAUAAUCAUAUGUGUUACUCCUCUUACUAGUUGUUUACCAUUGCCUUUAUUAUGUCUUCUAAAGCUCGAGAUAGCUUCGCCCCUUUCUUUGUGGCAAGGAUCCUAAGCCAUAAAAUUGUUUAAGUUGACCUCUCGCCUAACAGCUUCCUUUGUAGUAUCUUUUAAUAAAAUACAAUCUUCAAAUUUGUGGCCUACAUCACCAUGAAAUUGACAUCUUUGGGUUGAUUGACCUCGAUAUCUAUUAGGCUUCAUUUAUGGUAAUAUCUCAAGAAUACCCUAAUCUUGAAACUGGCUUCAAAUGUGUACUCGUGAUGAAUUCAAUGGAGUAUAACUAGAAAAUUUGUUAGAUGAUGCUUGUCACCUUCUCUCAUCAUAUAACUCAAAAUGGGAUGCAAUAUUCCUCAAUGAAUUAGGGGAGCGAAAAUGAUAUUGCCCCUUCCCCCAAGUGUACUCGCAAACUAGGGAGCAUUUUAUGUUGAUCUCGAUUGGAAGGUUGCCCAGGGGAAGGGUGGUUUAAUCUCUGGCAUGGAAGCCAAAAUACCUAAAAUCAAACUCUAUGUUAGACAAGUUCAUCUCUUUUGUUUUUGUGUAUUUUUGAGCCUUGUCAUACUAAUUAGUGAGGUGUUUAAGCUUAUUUUAUGCAAGAAGAUAUUUCAAAUGCUCAAGACUUACUCUUUUUAUAAAGGCUCCCAUAGCCCAUUAAUUUGUCAAAUCCUUAUUACCCAUGGUCGCAAUAUUAAAGCAUUUAAUAUAAUCACACAAGGGCUUAUUGAGUUGUUGCCUGAUAGCCAGAAAGCUAGUGGUGUUUUAAGAUAGUUUUGUAUGUGCGAAAGAGACCUAAAAAUUGGAAACCCAGUUGUUCAAAUAUGUGAAUGGUUUUAGUGCGCAGGGAUAAAAAUGAACUUAUGAUAAAUUAAAAAAGGCUUCAAGGCGUGUAUCAACGCCAUUUUCUUUAAGGUUCUAUUUGUCACCACCUAUAUUUCGAUGUGCAAAAAAGUUAUUAGCAACCUCGAGAAUACAAUGAAGUCCAAUAACUGUCUACAUUUUGUACUGACGGAAACAGUUCACUAAGCAUUAAACAAAGCAAAGCUAGAUCAAUUUCUAUAAAGAAUUUAUAUGUUUUGGUGUGUCAAACAAAUGAAAUUUGAUUCCUAUUUAUAGAAAUUCUCAUGUUUCUUUAUAAAGAUAUAAUUAUUCAAAUAGAUAGCCACAUCUUUUAGCAAUAAAUAUAAUUAUUCAAUAUAUAUCUACUUGAAUAAUUAUGACCAUUUAUUAUUAAUUAAGUGAUAUAUCUUUUGGUGACAAAAGAAAACCCAUCAUUAUGAAUAGAUACAACUCUUAGUUAACAAAUAAGUGACAUAACUUUUAGACUACUAAUAACUUUUCAAUUAAAACUAUUGGAAGAUUAUAAACUUUUUGAAAAUGCUCCAACAAAUGGAACCUUUUAGGAGAGAAAAGUACCAUUUUUUUACAUUUCUCCUCAAAGUAGUGGCAAAGGGCCUGCAUUUAAAGGCAUCAAAAGCUCCCAAAACUGUAACAUCCUGGUUUAGACCCUAGUUGGAAUAGUAGUUUCGGGACCACAAAUCUAAGUUAGAAUAAUAUUUUAAUAUUAUUUUCCAUGUUUACAGCAUGAUAGAUGUUAUGUGUGAAAAUUUCAUGUGAAAAUUUUAUUGUUUAUGUGCUUAAUUUGAUAAAAGGACUAAAUCGUCUAAAGUGUAAAUGUAGCAUGCUAUAAGUUAAGAGUGUUUAAUUGCUAUGGUUUAUUAAAUGAAAGGUCCUUAUAAUGUUAUUACACCCUUGAUAGUGGAAUUUGGCAUAAAUGGGCAUGUAUUUGAUGUUUUAAAUGAUUAUUAAAUAAGGUCAUUAUGGUAAUUAGUCAAAUAAAAUAUGGUUUAAUAAAGUCAAAGUUGAAAAUUCAUUUAUUCUUCCAUCUUUUAACCAAAAAUAAUAACCAAAUUAGGGCUUGGAAAGCUUUGAAUAUUUCAGCACUUCAAGGUCUUGAUUAAGGUAUGGUUUGAGCUCGGUUUUUGAUGAUUUUUACGUUUUUGAGAUCGUUGCUUUGUGUUCUAUCAAGCCCAUGUCUAAAUUUCUAAUUUUGUUGAUGAUUUCAUGAGAUGCCAUUAUUGAAUAUGAGUUUUAUGAUGUUUGAUGAUGAAAAAUAAGUGUUGAAUGAUAGAUGAACAUGUUUUGUAUAAUGAUUUUUGGGGAAAAUGUGUAUUAAGGAUUUAAUUGUGAAUUUUGUAAAUUUAGGGGUUAAAAUGUGAAAUAAAUGAAAUAUAUGGGCUGCUAGGGACUCACAUGAAAUUCGGCUAAGCUUGGGUGUAAUGAAAUUUUGUGUAAUUUGUGAUUUUUUUGUGAAUAAGGACUAAAAUGUAAGAAAUGUAAAAUUUUAGGGGUUAAUAUGUAAAAUACCCAAAUUGUGUGUUUAUGGAUUUAAUUGAAUACAUGAAUGAUUAAUUAGUGAAUUUUGAAUUUAUUUAGAUCAAGAAAGGCGAUAUACGGACUUAGAUCGAGGCAAGAACAAAGUACUCGAUUAAUCGACUCAUUUUGACAUUUUAGCAUCCAAGGUAAGUUUGUACGAUAUAAUUGUUACUUUAGCAAUGUUUAUUUGUUAUGAAAUGAAUGGAAAUGUGAAUGAAAAGUAUGAUUAUGCUCGGAAAUAAUUCUAUGAUAAAUGGCACUAAGUGUGCGGAAAUGUAUUAACUAAGACUAAUAAAAGGCACUAAGUGUGCGAGACCGAGACAGUUUCGAUAUAAUGUGAUGGCACUACGUGUGUGAUAUCUUUAUAGCUUCGGCUAUAUGUUUGCUAAGUGUGCGAGUUCUUCUAAUGUUUAAAGACUACAAAUGAAUUAGUGUAUCGAGCUAUGAAAUAGUAAAGUGAUAGAUAAAUACGUAAUGGUACAUGUAGGUACGAAACUUAUGUGGUUGGUAAUGUUGUAUAUAAGGUAGAUGGAAGAUUAUGAGAAUGAAUAAUGUUUAUUGAGUUGGAUUGAGUAGUAAUAUGAAUGCUUGUUUACAAAUUUAAUGACAUGGUAUGAAAGUGAUUAAUAGUCAUGACAGAGUUUGAGUAUUGAUAUGAAUUGUAUUAAGUGUUGGUUAAUUGAUAAAUUUGCAUUUAAUUGUUGAAUUAAAUGUGUUAUAUUAUGAACUUAUUAAGCUUUAUAGCUUACUGUGUGAAUUUUUCUCUGUUUAUAGUGUAUUAAAGCUAGCUCGGAUCCAAGAAUCGUCAGUGACUUAAUCACACUAUCGGAUAUCUAUUUUGGUAUUUUAUUUUAGAAGUUGUAUAUAUGGUAUAUGACAUGUAUAGGCUAGUGUCUUGAUGAUGUAUUUUGUGUUGGAACUCAUGCCAUGUGAUGUGGCUUUAGAAUGAUGGAAAUGAUGAAAUGGUUUUGGUUUAUUUUAUGAGAUGAAAUAAUGUAUAUGUGAUAUAUAUAUAGUUGUUUUGGUAUGGUUGUCUUAUUGGUAAAACAAUGUUGUAUUGAUAAAUGAAAAAAGGCAUAUCAUAAUAUAUUUAGUAGUUGAUUGAAUUGAGGAAUUGGUAUGAUAGAUGGGGUUGAAUUGUUGUGGAAUAGAUGUGAAAAUGCUUAGUUGAAUAUACGUAGAAUUGGUAUGUUUUGGGAGUAGGGUUUGUUUAUUGAAAUGGUUGAGACUGAUAGUAUGAAUUAUGCAUGAAAUGGUCAUUUUUUUGAGUUGCCUAAAUGAUGCAAAUUUGUGGUACCUUUUGAAUGAAACAGGAAGCAUGUUUUAGGUUUUGUAAACCCUUUAAAGGGAGACAAUGUGUAUGAAUGACUAUGAUAUGAUGAUGAUCGAACUAUGUUUGUGCUAUGAUUGUUUAAUGAUGUGAAAUAUCCGGUAAUGCCUCGUAACCCUAAUCUAGCGACGAAUACGGGUUAAAGCUGUUACAAAAACAUACAUGUAAUUAGUGUUUAACCAGGUAUUUAACCCCCCUCAUAAAUUUCCUUAGGGAAUUUAAAGAAUUUUGGUAGGUCUACAACUACUAUUUCAAGGCAAGGGGAUUGUUGGAAUAGGAAUCCGAAUCCAUGUCUUUAGUGUCAAGCCUUAAAGCCUGAAUAUCUCAGCUUAGCACUUCCAUUUCUUUAUAUCAAGCUUGAGGCUGGUAUUAUAGAAAGAUCGAAUUUGGCUAGUAUUUCUAGUACUAAUUAUAGUUUUGGCCUUGUAAAUUAAGUGAAAAGGCAACCUUAUCAUGUUGUCAUAGAAAUUAUGGGUGGAGGGUUUUAGCCUACUCUUAGCUCUCUCAACAUUUUAGUAUUUUGACGAAGAUGCUUUUUGGUACUAAUAGUAUUAUUAUUUAUGUCUCAACUUCUGUUGCAUCAUUUGACCUCUCAAAGCUCUCAUUUGUUCUUGUAGCUUCAUGAACUUCUAGGAGGAAAAGUUGGGAUUUUGGGUUGUUUGUUCAUCGAAGGUUGACAUUGGUCGUGUAUUAGGUGAGGGGUGACAGAUUAUGGUACCUAGGUUGUUGACGGUACGAAUUUUCGUACGCAUCACUGUUAGGGUUGUAAGGGCGUGUAGCUAGUUGAGGGUUUCUGGAUUGGCUAGUGUGGAAAGUUUUGUGUGCUAGGAUUGGUUGUAGAACUAGGAUUCUUAAGGAUGUUUCUCUUCAAGAGUUAUGUCGUCCAUGCUCACUGCGUUAAAUUGUUGAAGAUAGUGUUGUUGGAACCAGACCAGGUCAAACUAAUUAGACUGAAAAUUGAAAAAAAGUAUCAAUUGAAAAAAAAAGUAUAUAAUUUUUUUAAGUUUUAUGAUAUUUAAUUAUUGUUGAUCAAUGGUCGAACCAUUGAAUUGAGAACUGUGAUUUGAUUGAUUUGACUAUUGGUCUAGUUUUUAAAACAUUGGUUGAGAGUGAAAAGAGGAAGGAUAAGGAAAAAGGUGAUUUGCAUGGUGGUGAUGUGCUGAAAGCCAUUCAAGAGGAAGAUUGAGCAAGGGAAGAGCAUAAGAGAAAGAGAUUGAAGAAGAAACCUCCUUAAGGUCAAGGAAAUGUAUUUAUAAAUGAGCUUGAUUCGUCCUUUGUCCUCAGGGUUUGACACAUGUCCACUUUGGUCUUAUUGUGGUCAGUUCCUUAAAGGACAUGAUAACCUUCCUAACUAGGCAAUGACAAGAUUUACGUGGAAUUAGUGAAGUUCCACGUGUACUUCAUGCGAGGAAGAGACUCAACACUUGUCUUUGAUGAGGUAGAUUGGAGGUGCUCCAUGUGUUAGCUAUACAUGUGCUAGCGAGGUGUCGUCCAUGGGCAAGGUUGCAGCUGGCAAGCAUGUUUGGUGAACCCCUUCUUGAUAAGUAGGGAUAACAAAAUUGGGAACAAAUAAUUUAUUCAUUAUGUAUGCAUUUCAUUUUUAUAAUUUAUAAAACAAGUAAAAUCCAAAUCUAGAUUUUAAUAUUCAUAUUUCCAAAAAUAACAUUAAUUAAUUUCCUUAUAAAUAGAAGGGUCUGAAAUAGCUUUCCAAAAGUAAAUGGGUUUCAGUUACUUGAACAGCCAAACCUUCAUUUUCUUGGGACGUCCUUGUAUUGAAAACCGUGACAUUACUUAUGCCUUUCCCCUCUCACCUUCCCAGUACAAUAAGCAAACCCGCCCAUCUUCCCAACUACACCCAAUAUCUGCAUUUAUAGAUAUAAAAUUAGAAAGAAAGAAAAAAAACCCAACUGAAAUCCCUCAACAAACUACUUUGACUCUUACAUGGUUAAAUCUCAUUUUAACCUUUUUAUCUUUCACCAAUCUUUUAUAUGUUUCUUUUCAUUCUCAGAAAUGAUGCUUUUUGUUACAAUAAUGGUAGUUGGUCUUUAUGCUAACAUCAUUUAAUCUUGUUUUCUUCAAUUUAUACUUUGAAAUAUAACGGGAUGGAUGGAAUAUUUGCUCAUGGGAUUAAGGGGGAAAAUGCUGCAAAUUAACCCAUUUCCUUCUCUUAAUCCUACCUACCAUGGAAUCAAUUAUACUCUCAACUUCAUAUAAUUUGACUAAGUUCAAGUCAUGCCAUUUUGUAUUUUUUUUUAUAAAAUCCUGACUAAAUUCAUUACUUAACUUCUUAACAUAUGUAAGUCGAUAUUAACCGUUUAUUUUAUUUGUGUUUGUUUCAAAUCAGCCAACUAAUUUUGGUUUUUUAAAACUUUGAAUGUAAUAACAUGGUAAAAUUUAAUUAGACAUUGACAGAAAUACAUUGUUUUUACUCGAUUUCAAGAUAUUGUUUCCGUGAAUAUUAGGAAGAGAGGGUGUUAGUGCAACAAAUACAUGAUUCUAAAUCAACUUUAUAAUGGUGAGAUGAGAAGGGACAAAAAUGUAAAAUUAAAAUAAUUAUUUACGUGAGAUUAGAAUUAAUUCUAAAUACCAAUGAUGUUAUUUGGUGGUAUAAAACAGUGGUCUUUUAUGUUGCUUACAUAUCUUGAUUCCCAUUUCUCAUUGACAAGUAGACGCAGCAGCCGUAGAUGAGAAAUGGAAAAUGAAAAGCGAUGACGUGUAAUCCAACACAAGGGUGAAGUAACCCAUAAGGAUUUCAUUGUUGAAACUAAUUUCUUGUUUUCCUUGCUCAUUAAAACUAACUCCAUUAUAUACGAUUUUUAAAUAUGGGUGAAGUACAAUUUAGUUGAUUUUUUCUUUGGGAUAAUUGAAACUUCCAUUCUUUUUAUAAAGCAGAUAAUGACAUCUUCAAUUUUGAGUGCUGGGUGAAGAUGACAUUUUACGUACCUUUAUGCUUCUCUUUUGAAAUCGUCAUCAUCCUUCUUAUUCUAUUUUAAAAAUAAAAGCUAGGUUGCCCAUUUACCUAUCCUUCUCAAUUACCAUAAAAUCAUGUCAAUCUUGUUGUAACUAUUCCAUCGCCAUCAAACCAUACCCAUUCAAUACCCCAAAUAGUUGCUGUGCUCAAUUUCAGAAUUAUUCUAUUUUUUCAUCUUUGAUUCAAAUUCAAAUAUAAUAUCCAUAACCCAUUGAGUUCUUUUUUUAAUUAUUGCAACUUUAAUUAUGUCAGUAAGUUUAAAGUUGAAACAGCAAAUAAUGGAAUUGUCAUGAAAAAAAUCCACCUCAACACAAAUAUUUAAUGAUUUUAAAUUUAACUAAAUAAUAUUAUAAAAAUAAAAAGCAUCAAGGCUUAAAUAUCCAAUAUGGAAACCCAACGCCAUUUGCAGACCAUUGCAUCCUUUUGAUCCAAUUAAAGUGUUUCAAUGAUAUUACUAUUUAACAUUCCAAAUCAAAGUAGGUGAGUCUUGUACUAUCAAGCCGCCUUUAAGGUGAGCAAUUGUGUUUCUGGGCUGCAUAAAUAACUAUAUGGGCGAGGCUCUUACUUGCUUCCCACAUCUAACAACCUUUCACUUUAUAUAUUUAAACCACAUGAAUAAUAAUAUGUACAAAAUUAAAAUAACAAUAGUUUUAACUCUAAGUAAAAUGAUUUUUUUAUACAUCAUCUUCAUUUUACGAUUCAUAUAUGGGGUUCGUGAGUUGCCUCUUUCAAUAAUGUUAUCUCCAUGAUUUGAACUUGUGUUCUCCUCUUACGAGUGCAAUGUGUCUUAUCAUCACACUCAACUCUUGUUGGUUGAGUAAUAUAAAUAUAUCAUACUACAAAUAUUAAAUGCACUCGAAUUAUUUAUCAUGAUAUUGUUAUUUUUUUAGUUGGUAUCGAGUUAACUUAUGGCACCAACGAUAUUAUCAAUAUAUACAAAUAAUGCAGGUUAAGCAAUCUGUAUAAUAAAGUUGAAAUGUAUAAAAAUAGUAAAAUAAAACUUUGGUUGAAGUAGUAAGAUGUUGGUUGCAUGAGUUCAAAUUUUAAUAUUUAUAAAUUUUUAUCGAUUUUUUAAUAAAAAAUCAAAAGUACCCUUAUAAUAAUAUAAUUUAUUUAAAAUUUAUAAAGUUAUUUUAAUAUUUAAUUAAUAUCGAAUUAACUUAUGACGCCAACUCAAUCCGUAUAAAUUCAAUUAGUAAAUAGUGGGAAGUUGGAACGGUUAUUCAUAUAUUGGAUACUGUUAUUUGACAUUCGACCAACCAUGUUCAUAUGCAGGCAAAUCACAUUACAGUUAUACCAUAUUUUGAAUUAAAGCAUCACAAUAAAUCUUUAUAUAUACACCCAAUCUUAAUUAAUAAUAAAGCAAAUAAAAAAAUAACCCAAAAAAUAAUCGUAUGGUAUCGGUGGUUUCCUCUUCGUUUACCCUUUUUAUAUAAUUAAAGUAUAGGGAUAAAAUUGUCUCUGCAAUUUGUAAGAUUUUUUUUUAUUUCUUAUUUUCUUAUUUAUAACUAUUUUUUUCAAUAUAACUAUAUAAUUAUUUAACAGAAUUUUAUAUCAUUAUUAAUUAAAAACAAUUUUAUAUGAUUAUUUAGCCAUUACUAUUCCUUGGUUCAAAUUAAUUUUAAAUAUAUUAUUAUACGUUAAAGAUUAAUUACUUAUUUAAAAUAUUAUUUUUAUUAAAAAUAAUUAUUUGUUUAAAUAAAAACAAAUAAAUACAACAACAUUAAGGAAAAUAAAGAUAUUUGAUAUGUUGUUAUUUAUCUUAUUUGUGCUGGUGUCACAAAUUAUUCAAACUUUAAAAAAAAUUCAUUUAUCCUUUUCUUUUAAAUAAUAACUAAUAUUAUUACGAUAAUACUUUUAUAUUUUCAUGUUUUUAAAUAAAAGAAUUAAAGAAUAUAUCUAAGAAUCAAAUAAGAUUUAAGCACAAAUUUGUUUUACCACUCUACCAAUGAUCAAUUAUUGAUUAAAUUUAAAAAAGAAAAAGAAAAAUAAUUUUUAUAUAAAAUGUUUUGCUUCACCUAAAUAAUGGGUGACAUAAUCCAGUUUUUAUUAUUUUCUAAUGAUUGAUGACAUUCAUGUAAUCUAAUCUCAUAAAUGUCAAAUAAUCUAAUAUGUUUAUUAUACUUCAAUGAAGGUCACUUUUUUUCACUACUAUUCACCCAUCAUUCUUUUAUUAUCCCCACACAUAUUUCUCCUUCAACUUUAUUUUUUCUUCAAUAAAUAAAAGUAUUUUUUUAAUUUUGGUGAAUAUAAAAUAUUAUCAAUUAAUUACAUAAAAAUAUUCUAAAAAAAAAUACCCUCUAUCUUAUCAAUUUCCAAAAGAUCGAGAACUAUCGUAGGAGGGAAAUAAAAAAUUUACAAUUUUCUUUUUUGGCCAAAAACCUAAACCAUCUCUCUAGAUAUUUUUCAUUUAUUCAAAAUGCAUAAUGUGUGCAACUAAAAAAAAAAAAAAAAACCUACUUAAAGUGAUCAAUCAAUGAUAAAACUAAGCUGGUAGCGUAAUAAAACGAAGUUGACUAAUUGCUACUCCCCAUCAAUUUCAAUCUCAUCACUACUCGUUGUCCUCUAAAAAAAAAGGUUUGGGUUUUAUUCGUAAUAAAAAAUAAAAAAUUAUGUAUUAAAAAUAUAAUAUUUGAUACAUUGUUAAUAGAGAUUUUAAAUUUCACAAUGUUAGGGGUUGACAAAUAUCUUAUAAUAAUAUAGUAAAAUAUUUUGAAAAAACGUAAGGUAAUUUUUUAAAAUUACUUAUAAAAAAAUUAUAUGUACCAAAUAUUAACCCUUAAAAUAGGUGGUAAUAAUAGAAAUUUAUUUAUGGAAUUAAAAUUUUUCACUAACAAUAUAUUAAAUAGUUUAUAUUUUAAUAUAUAAUUAUAGGUAACACAGUUAAUGAAAAUUUUUGAAUUUCACUAACAAAUAAAGGGUGUGACAAGUGUCAUAUUUAUUUAUAUAAUUAUUAUUUUUAAAUUUUUACUAUCCAUACACUUGUCAAAUUCUAAACCUAUUUAUCAAAUAAUUACGAACACAACAAAAUUUUGUUAAAAUAAAGCUAAAUGUAGUUAAUCUCAAAUUCUUUGUGCUUUUUGUACUAUAAAUUUUAGUUUUUUUUUCCUUUAAAAUGAAUUAAUUAUUACAUUACUCUUUUAACUAAGACCUCUCUAAUAUUUUUUCUCAUUGCUUUACUUGUUAAUUUUCUCAAACAUUUUUUUUUCUGUUUUUUAAGAUUUAUAUAGCCCAAUAACUAUAAAUGCGAUUACUUUUAAGUGUUAACUAUCUAUUUUAAUUUUUAAUUAUAAUUAAUUUAGAUUGUUAUAGUUUCCUUUGGGCCAUUUAGCAUUUUAUAAAUUUAGUAAGAUAGUCUAAAAUGGGUUUAGUUUCAGGCUCAUGGGCUUGUGAAUUGUUCUUCCUUUGUCAGUUUUUUUUUCCCACUAAGUACACUCAAAAUUUAUUUUAUUUCCAUUUUUUCAUUUUCUCAUUUCAUUCAUCCACACAUUUUAUCUCUCCACUUUUCUACUUAACUAAACACACAGUUUUUUUUUCAAAAUUAAAUAAAAAAUAGAGUGGGGAAUAGAUUAAUUAUGAAAAUAAUAUGCUUGCUACAGUAUUUUUUAGUGCCACCACCAUGUUAGGGACACCAACCUACUUUUCCCUUAAUCAUGCUUUAAUCAUUACCUUUAAAAAAUAUUUUUUUAGUGGUAUUACAUGAUACAAUAGCAACAUGGAACUAAUGUCUAAUAAACUAAAACAUUCAGGGAUCUGAUGAAGUAAUUACCCUUUUUAGAUUGGUUGAAAAAAAGGUGCCGCAUGACGACACCAAAUUAAAUGGUUUUUAACUUUUAGUCUAUUUGCAUGUUAAGUCUAUCCUCUUUUAAAAUUAAAUUUAAAUAGCUAUUAAAAAAUAAGAAUAACAACAAUAAAUCUUUCUCAUUUUAUUUUAUUAAAAAAAUAAAAAUUUAAAAUUUAUAUAAAAUUCUUAUUUAAAUUACCUAAAUAUAUCCGUAACAAAAUUUCCUUUUAAUUAGGUGUCGUCACACUGUUAGGCAACACCCCCUUUUUUAGCCAAUCUGAAAAGGACAAUUGCUUCAUCACGUCCCUAAAUAUAUUGGUUUAUCACACUUUAGCCCGAUAUCACCAUUUUGUCAAGCGACACCACUAAAAAAUGGUUUUUUUUAGAGGAAAUUAUUAAAGCAUAAUUGGGGAAAAAGUAGGCUGGUGCCACCUGACACAAUGACGACACCAAAAAAUGCUGUAAGAAACAUAUCAUUUUUGAAAUUAAUUUGUUUGUCACCUUAUUUUUAUAUUUAAUCAUUUUUAAUAUUAUUUUUGAAAUAAAAAUCCCCAAGCACACUCUAAAUGAGAAAAAGAGUCCUAACAGAAUAAUUAAAAAAAUCCUUAAUCAUGAUCACGAAAAGAUAUAUUCUUUUAAGAGAAAAUAUUUAAGGAAAAACGGUAAGUAUUAAAAAACUUUAAUAAGAAAUUUAAUAAAUUGUUAAAAUGUAUAAUUGUUUAUCUAAUUAUUAUAUGUCAUAUGUAAUAAAUAAUUGAUUUUUUAAAUGCACCUAAUACCUUUUUCUGAAUUUAUAAUAAUGGUAUCUAGCAUAUUUUUUUCUUCAUUUAGCACUUUGUGAUUGUCAUUUUAUUUUCUCUAUGGUAAUGUCAGUAAAGUUAGUCUAGCAUUUUUUAUUUCCAUCCACUUAUAUGAUAUUGUUAUACUCCCAAUUCGAGAGGGACGUGUGGCACCAUGAGAAGGUACUUGAGAGAUAUCUAUGAACGACCCUCCGCCUUACAUCACUUAGCUCCUCACUUGAGGAGUACUCAAAUGGUCCAUCGUCUUACAGCACCUAGUUGGUCAUGGGGUGACCAGCCACCUAGAAGUAUCAUCAUCUUAGCCACUUGCUUCUAGCGAGAAUGCACUCACCUCCAAGAGGAGACCACCAAUGAGCCACUAGGGCUUAACCUUGUACUACCUUAGCCAAAGGAAUAUUAGAACAAUACCAUGUAUGAGAACAACUGGCAUGCCACCUGGUCGACCACACGAGUAGUCCAGCACUCGUAUUGUAGGUGACGUGGCACUACCAGCCAGGGGUCCUUCACCUUAUAAUAUUGUAUUAUAUGUCCAAUCAAUUUGAAUAUGUGAUAUUUUAAUAUUCAACAUCGGUGAAAAUUAAAGUUCAAUUAAUAAUAUUGUAGUAUAUGUCCAAUCAAUUUGAAUAUGUGAUAUUUUAAUAUUCAAAUGUUUGAUUUAAAAAUUAGAAGAUGAAGUGAUAACACAUAUUCAAAAUUAGCAGAAGUGAAUUAAAAAUUUACCAAUUGGACUUUAAUUUUAAUUUAGAUCAAAUAAGUAUAGAGACUAAAUUAUUGGAAUUAAAUAUGGAGGAGCAAUUGGAAAAUUCUGAAGAAUAUACAAGGACUGGAAGCCCAGUUAGGCAUUGGUAAGUUUAGUUUUUCAAAGGUAAUAAUGUGAUGUGGGAUAAUAUGCGUUAAUUUUUAAUAAUUAGGUAGCAGAAAAAAUAAAAUGAUAUUUUCAUAAUUGGAUAUAGAUAAAAGAUUGCCUAAAUUGAUGGGCAUGAUGGGUGCCACAAGUGAUUAAAACUAAAUAAAAUGGGAUUAGUUGGUUAAGAGGAAGUAAAGUAGGCCAUUAAUUAGUACAAAAUUCCAAGUUGCUAACAUACUAAUACUAAGUCUUCUUAUCCCUUUCUGAGUUGUAACAUAGCAAAUGGAUAAUGUGAUUAGGACUCCAUAUCAAGGAAAUUGCAACAUUUUCAAUACCCCACUCAUUCUUAUCACAACUUCAUUUUCAUAUUAAAAAAUUAAUAAUAGAGGUUCAGUUUAGCAAAUUGAAUAACAAGUGGACAUCAAUUUUAAAUUUAAUCAUUAAAUAAUCCUUACUGUUUACCUCUUAUACAAAAAUUAGUAUAUUACUAAAUUUUAAAUAAAUAAGCUUAAGAAUUGAGGUGAUUAGAAUUAAUUUAAGACCAUGGCUGUUGAAAUUAAAUUGGACCGGUUGAUUGGAUCAAGAACGGAUCAGUAUACAAGUUUAAAGUAAGGUAACAAAAUCGGUUAAAUUGAAUUAAAAAAUUAAUUAAACCAAUUGAACUAGUUUUAUAAUUUUUUAAUAUCUAAAAAGCCUGGUACUACAAACCAUGAGCUUGUCGAAUUAAACUAAUGUAUUAACUAAAGGAUUGAAUUGUAAAUGUACCAAAAUUAUAAUUGAAAUAAUCAGAGAAUAAUGCAGUAGUUGAUCAAUGUCCAUGUUAAUAACUAAUUCUAGGAUUAGGGAGCCAAAUUGAUAAAUUUUCUAAUCGGUUUAAUUUUACCUAUCAAUCACUAAUUUAACCAAUUAAACAAUUUAGUCCAGUUAAUCUCUCAAUACCACUUAGACUAAAUAGGAACUAUUAAUAUAUACUCGAUACGUCUCCUAUUGAUCUUACUUAUCUAAUUAUUCACAUAGAGUUGUCAAUUCUAGGUUCCUCUAUUUAUUCAAUUAGCUCUUAAACCUUAGAUUAAUUAAUUAACAUUUCGAUUAAUCAACCACAAUAGAAAAUUAGUCCAUGCCCAUAUUUAUCAAACAAAACUCAUUCAUUUUCAUAUUAAUUUAAAGAUUUAAAUCACACAAAAAUAAUAGAGUUUAGAAAAUGUUCAGAGAUCUCAAUGAAGUCCUUGAUUUGGUCGUUGAAAUGAAGCGUAAACACGAAAUCCACAACCCUGAUUAUUCAAUUGCAAGUUUGGAUUAAGAAAUAAAUCUAAAAUCUAUUGAACUUGGGUGUAAAAAUCAAAGGAUAUAAAUGAUCACGGUACCUUUGAGUGCCAAAAGAAAAGUGCAGAAAUUUAUAUCUAAAAACAAGUAGAAACUAAACCCUAAAAAUUACUCUAAUGAAAAAAGCUCUCCAAAAAAAAUGUUUUGACAAAAGUUAACCUAAAAUGGAUAAAAACAUCCCUAUUUAGCAGUUAACUUAGGCUUGAAUUGAUUGAGAAAUGCCCCUUGCAAAACUUGCCUCGUUGAGCUUCGAUAUUGCAACACCCAAACUUUAGUGUCGUAGUAACCUAAACAGUCUACUCCCAUGGAUGUUUGCUAGCUUUAGUGUCAUGACCAUGAUCUCCAAUGUCGCAACUUGCACCUUUGGAUGAAUUGGACUCCUCAAACCUAGUGAUUGCCCACAAUGUUGUGACAUUGAUGGCUCAAUGUCGCGUUCCUAAGGUUGAUGUCGCGACUCCAUCAACAAUCUACUUAUAGUGUGAUUUUGUUGAAGUUUAAGUCCUCGUGGUGAUAGAAGACUUUGAUGUUGUGACACCAAUGGCAACAUUUCUUCAAGUUUUGGCCUUUAUCACUUUUUGUAUUAGCUCAAGUUAGUCGUUAAAUUUCCAAAGGCAUGAUUUUGUCAUCUUGAUCUCAAAAAGUACUCAAAUGCAUAAAAAAAAUUCUAAAGAAAAAUCUAAUAAUUACUAAAAAGUACUAAAUAAAGCUAUAAAUACUUGAGUACAAGCUCAUUAAGUGUUGAAAAGGGCCUAAAUUGACGUAUCAAUUCACGACAGAUCAUGGCCUGUAAAUUGUGGUUGAUUUGGUGCCAUAGGAAUAGAGUUUUGUUUGACAAGAUUUCUCCAAGUUCGGUUACAGUAAUUAGACAAGCAAAAGAUCUGUUAAACUAUGCAGAAUGGCUUGCUAGUAAAAGCAAAAGGAUACGGAUUCAUUAAGGAAGGAAUGAGCUGAAUCGUGUGUCCUCUCUAAUCAUCAUGAAUUUGACAUUAUUUUUUGUUGGUUUAGGAGAGAAAAGGAUGCACUAUAAUUAUUGUUGAUGAUGCAAUUCAUUGGACUAUUUACUGUUAGGGAGGCACUUUCAAAAACCUAUCCAAGUACAUAAUUUGGGGGGUGAGAAAGUGAACACUCAAGUGGAUGCUAGUGUCACGGACUUGGAGUUUUCCCACACAUCCGUGCGGCCUUAGGCAGUUUCUUGGCUUAAAAACGCCUAAGUCAGCCUAACUUCCACCAAUAAUGGAUUCAACCGUAAAAACGCCUAAGUCAGCUCAACUCGCAACAAUAAAGGAUUCAACAGAAUUCCCUUAAAGUUUCCAUGAAGAACAGCGGAAGAACGAAUUAAGAACGAUCUUUGAAAGAUGAACAAAAGCAAGAACGCUUGAGAGAAAAGUUUGAGUAAAUGCUCUCGAUUCUUAUUCACAAAGAAUAAUGAAACAAUUACAGGAGUCAGUACAAAUGAGGGGGAGGCUCUCUAUUUAUAGUUGAGCUCCCCCAAAACCGAUGGCUACAAUUAAAAGUUGUAUUCAACUAGGAUUCUAACUUUACAGAAUUAGAAGCUGUGUACAAUUAGAACUUCUAAGACUACUUAGUCCUAUCUUCAUUAUCGGGCCCAUCAGGCUUCAAUGUGACAGGCCUGUCCAACAGCUCUUUGAAUCGGGCCAAUUCUCGUAGGCCAAAUGAUCCCCAUCUGAGCAACAGACCUCCAUUGGAUGCAUUUGGUGCGCUUGUCACGGGCUUUGAACUGCGGUCCGUGACAUUCUCCCCCACCCAUUCUCGCAACGCCCUCGUUGCGACUUCUGAAUGGCACUGACUUGAUUCGCCUCGGUCUCGUCUCGUCGCCUUAGCCUUUCCCUUUCUUUGGGAUUCUUGCCUCGGCUUUUGUCGCUUCUUAUCUCGAGCCGUCCUGCUCGUCGCAUUUACUCUGGUCAACUAUCCCAUAUGCAUCGCUUCUUUUCCUUUGAAGUCUGAUGCACCACCUACCUCUCCCAUAGGUGGAAGCCUUGUCAAUGACUCGGCCAACUCCGACGCUUCACUCAACUUGAGCCUCAUUGGUCUCAGCUUCACUGUUUUCAUCGCAACUUUCUCCACUAAGUUAGAUGACAAACUCACCUCUUCCUUAGGUGGAAGCCCCUUCGAUGACUCACCAAGCUCAAACGUUACCUUUCUUUCGACUCUGGCUUGCUUUGGACAGUUCCGCAACUCAUGCGGACCACGGCACAAGAAGCACUUAACUUGCUUCUUUUUGCUCCUCUUUGCCCUCUUGGCUUUGGCUUUUCCCUUGCUCGAACCAAGCUUCUUGGGCUCAUUGUCUGCUCCAUCGUUCCCCUCGAUGACAGACUUCUUCGGACACUUCCGCAACCUAUGCGGACCAUGACACAAGAAGCACUCCACUGGCUUCUUCUCGCUUUCGGCCUCUUUGGCUUCGGCACCCCUUGCGCUCAAACCAAGUACCAAGGCCUUACCCACCGGCUUCUCCUUAAGCGCGGAUUUCAUCAAACAUUUUUUCAACAUGUGUGGACCGUCGCAGAGAAAGCAUUUUAGCUUGUCCCUUUUCCUCUUGGGUUUCUUAUUCCCAACUCGUGGUUUCCCAUUACCACCAUUGUCGCCGUUGUCAUUGCCAUUAACUCUAUCUUCCUUGUGAUCCAUUUCACAUAUGCCCCUUCCAUCGGACUUGGAAGACCCAAGCUUGUCUUUCCCUAGACCAAGCUUCACCACGGACUCAACUACCGUCAUGGCUUCCGACAGUUUUUGGACACCUCUUUGUUCCACCUCCUGUCUAACCCACGGCUUCAAUCCCUUUUGAAAAGCAAACAAUGCUUCUUCAUCGGUCACAUCUGAAAUUUGGAGCAUGAGUUCCUUGAACUCUUGAACAUACUCCCUCACUGUGCCCCGUUGCAUUAUCUCUUGCAACUUUGCCCGAGCUUCUUCCUCGGCAAAUUCUGGGUAAAACUGUCCCUUCAACUCGCAUUGGAACUCUUGCCACGUCCCAAUCUCACCUUGCCUUUUAUCUGUGGUCCUACCUCGCCACCAUAAAAGCGCAAUGUCAGUAAGAAACAUUGAAGCAGUGUUUACCUUAACCGCAUCCUCCAUGAUGCCUUUGGCACGGAAGUAGUUUUCCAUCCUCCACAAGAAAUUAUCCACAUCACAUGCAGACCUUGUCCCCACAAACUCUUUCGGCUUUGGGACAUCCUCAUUACUGAGUGCUGCAUUUGCCACUCCUUUCCCCACGGCUGCUUGACACAAGGCUAGCUCUCCCUCGAGCUCCUCUAUUCUUGUGCUCAAAGCCCUCGUCGUGGCCAUUGUUUCCUCCUUCAAAGCCAUCAUUAUGGCCUCGAGAGCAUCAUUCCUUUCCGACAGCUUAUCCCUGUGUGAAUUAAACAACUCGUUUACCUUGUCCAUGGUGGAAUCAAGAGACAUCUUUACAUAGUCUCUGGACUGCUCCUUCCAGUUUGCUAUGUGAUCCUCGACCCCAUCGAGUGCCUCCUUUACAUCCUCCAUGGAUCCCUUGAGUUUACCCACACGUUCCUCUACUGCCGAUAUUGUCUCCUUCAAAGACUUCCUCGCCCACCUUUGUUCGAACUCUUCUCUCGACAUCCCAACGGUGCCUUUGAACCAACAACUCAGAUAUCACUUGGUUCAAACCUUGGCUCGGAUACCACUUGUCACGGACUUGGAGUUUUCCCACACAUCCGUGCAGCCUUAGGCAGUUUCUUGGCUUAAAAACGCCUAAGUCAGCCUAACUUCCACCAAUAAUAGAUUCAACCGUAAAAACGCCUAAGUCAGCUCAACUCGCAACAAUAAAGGAUUCAACAGAAUUCCCUUAAAGUUUCCAUGAAGAACAGCGGAAGAACGAAUUAAGAACGAUCUUUGAAAGAUGAACAAAAGCAAGAACGCUUGAGAGAAAAGUUUGAGUAAAUGCUCUCGAUUCUUAUUCACAAAGAAUAAUGAAACAAUUACAGGAGUCAGUACAAAUGAGGGGGAGGCUCUCUAUUUAUAGUUGAGCUCCCCCAAAACCAAUGGCUACAAUUAAAAGCUGUAUUCAACUAGGAUUCUAACUUUACAGAAUUAGAAGCUGUGUACAAUUAGAACUUCUAAGACUACUUAGUCCUAUCUUCAUUAUCGGGCCCAUCAGGCUUCAAUGUGACAGGCCUGUCCAACAGCUCUUUGAAUCGGGCCAGUUCUCGUAGGCCAAAUGAUCCCCAUCUGAGCAACAGACCUCCAUUGGAUGCAUUUGGUGCGCUUGUCACGGGCUUUGAACUGCGGUCCGUGACACUAGGACCCAUGUCUACACCAAAUUACAAAAUUGGGAGAUAACUUCUAACAACCUAUCCAAUUACAUAAUUUGGGGAGUGAGGUAUUGGUCUUAUAUAAUUGAAUAGGUUUGUGAUGAAGUAUACUCAAUUCUAAAAUACAAUAAAAUCCCCCCAAAUUCUGUAAUUUUAUUUUGCCGUUGACUGUUUCUCAUGUUUCCAUAGUUACCACUUUCGACGUGUUUUUCGGUCACAAUGAAUUAAGAACGAAGAUGUAAAAUAAGUAAUUUCCCGAGGCCUUAUUCGUCUUCCUAUCUAUUCACGCGUUUUGGAAAGGCGAAGAAAACACAUAAAAAAUUUAAUUUAACGAUCUAACGUGUAUGGACAUCCAUUAUUUUAGUGAAUAUAUGGGUAAUUUUGAAAAUGAUGGAUAGCUUUUUAAAUUUGUGAGAAUAAAUCUAUCAGAUGGAUUUUUUAAGAAAUAUAGUUCAAGGGGUUAUAUGAAAAAUAAAGAUUUAAUACUAUUCAAUUUUUUUUAUUUGAAUAUUUAAAGUUUUUUUAUUAAAAGUAUCAACUAUUAACUCUCGGUUAAAAAUUUUUUCUAAAUCAAUCAAAUUAUGACACAUAACAUUUUUAAUUAAAUCAAAAUAAUUAAAAUUAAUAUUCAAUAAAAAUAUCAUCUCUCAAUCUUUCUCCUUCCAUCUUCAUAUUCCCCAUCUUCAUCUUCUUUACAAAAAAAAAUUACGAAAUUUUGAAAUAAAUUCUAUUCCGAAUUUCUCCCAUUAAAACAAACAUCAUUUUCAAUCUUAAAAUAAACCCCAUUAAAACAAACUCCCAUUUUCCAUAUUAAGUAAUCAAAUAGAAAAUAAAAUAAAAUAGCAAAAAAGAAAUGAUAAUUAUUUGGUACACUUGAUGUGGAAAGGUUUAACCCAUAAGUGGAAUCAAGGGGUUGACAAAUGAUCCAUAGGGAUAUAGUAAAAUAUUUAAAAAAAAUAGGCACAUGUCAAUUUUUUUAAAACUACAAAGUAUACUGCCAAUGUACCAAAUACUCACCCUUUUAUUUAAUGUUAAUUUUAAAUAUUUAUGCUAUUUAUGCUAUGCAAUUGGCAAUUAUUCCGAGGGGAGUUUGCUCUGAAAUAAAGAAGAUCAUUUGUAAUUUUGUAUGGGGGAACACGGAGGAAAAUGAAAGGGCUUAAUCUGGUUAAGUAGGAUGAUAUUUGCAAAGACACAAAACAAGGGGGCAUUGGUUUCACGAAGCUCGAAUACCUCAACAAUGCUUUCCUCAUGAAGAUUGGUUUUAAUAUUAUCAAGAACCCUAUGCAAUUUUAGGUUCAAGUGUUGAGAUCUAAAUAUAAAAGGAAAGGUCACCUGUUUUAUUUGCCAGAAAUGCGUCAUGAUUAUAGAAGGGGACAGGUCACGCAUGGAGUCAUAUCUGCGAUGGUAUUAUAUGGAAUGUUGAAAUGGCUCGUAUGUGGAUUUUUGGAGAGAUUACUGGGUUAAAGAUUAGGGACCACUUAUUAAUGUGUGCACACAAUCUGAAAAUAUCCCUACAGAGCAUGUUCCUAUAAAAAAUAUGGUUAUGCUGAGUGGGGAGUGGAAUUGGUCUGUGAUUUGCUUGGUUUUGCCAUCCCAGGUUCUUUUGAGCAUUUCUACUUAUAAACCUCCAUCAGCUUAGGAUGUGGAUGACUUUAUUAGAUGGCAACAUGAGAAGAGGUCUGCUUCGUUCGUUCUGCCUACUCCACUAACUACGGAAUGGAAAUGACUAGAAAGGGUAGUAUUUGGCAUAAUCUGGGACCUCAAAAGGUACGUGUUUUUCUCUGGCUGGAUUUUUUAAAUAGGAUCCUUAUGAAUGAGAACCGAGUGAGAAGACAACUAACCUCAGAUGCAAGUUGCAAGGUAUGUGGAAGCCUAUUUGAAAGCGUCGAUCAUGUACUACAUAUGUGUACCCCAACUAUAGCAACAUGACAUUCGGUAAUCAAGGCUGCAAAGAGAUGGGAGUUUUUCUCUAUUGGGUUGGCUAAGUGGUUUUAGAUUAAUCUCUCUAAUNNNNNNNNNNNNNNNNNNNNNNNNNNNNNNNNNNNNNNNNNNNNNNNNNNNNNNNNNNNNNNNNNNNNNNNNNNNNNNNNNNNNNNNNNNNNNNNNNNNNNNNNNNNNNNNNNNNNNNNNNNNNNNNNNNNNNNNNNNNNNNNNNNNNNNNNNNNNNNNNNNNNNNNNNNNNNNNNNNNNNNNNNNNNNNNNNNNNNNNNNNNNNNNNNNNNNNNNNNNNNNNNNNNNNNNNNNNNNNNNNNNNNNNNNNNNNNNNNNNNNNNNNNNNNNNNNNNNNNNNNNNNNNNNNNNNNNNNNNNNNNNNNNNNNNNNNNNNNNNNNNNNNNNNNNNNNNNNNNNNNNNNNNNNNNNNNNNNNNNNNNNNNNNNNNNNNNNNNNNNNNNNNNNNNNNNNNNNNNNNNNNNNNNNNNNNNNNNNNNNNNNNNNNNNNNNNNNNNNNNNNNNNNNNNNNNNNNNNNNNNNNNNNNNNNNNNNNNNNNNNNNNNNNNNNNNNNNNNNNNGGUGGAUAUUCCUUGCUCAUUAUCAGACAAUCACUUAUUUACAUAAGUGUGCAUUGGUGGUUCAGUUAAACUGAACUACAUGAUUUAAUGUGUGAUGGCAGCACCUUGUUGGAUAGUGUCAUUGCUUAUAUUCCUAAUAUUUGGUGAUGUUGAAGUUACGAUGAACUACUAGCAAUUUUGGUGGACUUAUGUCAUACUGAGAUUUUUUAUUAUCUUUGGAGGGGCAAAUUGUGAAGUGUAGUAUGUUGAUUGUUAAUUGUCUUAACUACUUAGUCAUUGGGAGAGUGCAGUGGGGCAGGGAAGUAGAUAUCAUAUUGUUAUUAAUCUGACUAAUGGAUAAUUUCACAGCCUCCUAAAAGUGGAGGGCCUCUGUCUCUAACGCCCAAUGUUGUCAAGGGCACCAGGCGCACUCGAGGUGCUAGGACCUCUAUAUAGCCUGAAGCGCAAGGCGCAAAAAAGCACUCGCCAGGGUAAACUGAGGCGCAAGCAUAUAAAUUUAAAUAUAUAUGUAAAAUGUAUAUAAAAUCAUAUGUAACUGAUGCAUAUAAUUAAUAAGUAUUAAUUGAAUAGUAAAAGAAAGAUUUUACUAUAGUUCAAUUUAUAAAUUCAAAAAAUUGUUCAAUAGUUUAAUAAUUUACUUAAUGUAUUGUAAAAUAAAACACCAUAGGAAUGAAAUUAAAUCUCAUCAUCAGAAACUCGCUUUAAAUUUCCUUCAUCUUCUCUUGAAAAGUUUUAGCUUUUAAGAGUUAACUAGGUUUUUAUAUAAUUAAAUUAGGUCAAUAAUUAAUUUAAAAAACUGUUUUUUAUAUUUUAUUAUAUUUUUCUUUUAAAAGUUAAAAAGAAAAAAAAACAGGAGAAUGGAAUGGCUCUUUAGUGAGGCGUGCUUUUUAUUGAGCCUGGUUUUGCAAUAAAGGUGCCUGAAAAGCGCACCAGGCGCUUGCCUGAGUAAAGUCUCCUCGCCUUGAGGUGGGUGAGGCAGUAGUGGCCAUUAGCACUGCGCCUUAGUGCCUAGGUGCUUGCCUUGACAUCACUAAGGCCUUUGGCUUUUUAUUGUAAUUUAACAUUGUAACAGUCCUGAUGCUCAUUUGUUAAUUAUGUAGUACUUUUUUUUUUAUUUAAUAAGUAUACAGUUCUACCGCUUCAACUUCUGCUGCUGUUAGCUUUAAAAGUUUGUCCGUUCAAGAAGCAGUACUUGGGCUCCUAUUAUAAAAUGGCAUCUAAUUCCUUGUGUAUUCUGGAUAUAUAUCUUUUGGUGCAGUUUUUAUCACUGUUGGACUCAGGUGCUGCUUUCAAUUGUGAAGUAAUUCGGGACUGUUAUGAAGCUUUUGCGUUGUACUGCUUUGAGAGAUAUUUGAUAGCUUGUUUAGGUAUGCUAAGAUGAUCGAAUUUUUCUUUGGGCAUUGACCAACUAACAUUCUUUAUGUCUUGAAUUGUUAUUUAUAAUAGACUGAUUAAUAAUAGAUUACAUUCUCAUAAAGUACCUUUUAGAUCUUCAAUUUCUUUCUCCCCCCCCCCCUUUAGGAGAUGCGUUUUUUAUUUCUUUCUUCUGUUUGCCUUCAUCUGUUUUUACAUUUUUGAGUAUGAAUAAACUGUGCAAAGAAAUAUAUGAGGACUGUGUAUCUGAACAGAUGAUAUGUGCGUUGAUCUGUGUUCAGAGGGCUCAACAGGAGUCUGAUUGAAAUAGGAAAUUUCUGUGUUUUAUGGAUAUGUUUUAAGUCAUUUUUUAUCUAGCGACAUUGUUAUGGAAAACAUAUAAUCCCUGCCCCUUACAAACCUUGAAUUGGUGGACACUGCAUAUAAGAGGUUUUUAUCACAAGUUAGACAUGGAAAUCUUUGCGUUCCUAUGUAGGCUCUUUAACUUAUGUAGGUAACCACUACAAUAGAGGUUUAAUGAGCUAAGUGACUUCUCUUGCUUUAUUUGAAGCUGUUGGGUUCUUAUCUAAGCAUUUGAGGUUUCGCAUUUGUUUUAUCAGUUAGCAAGAAAUCUUUGACUCUUUUCUAGCCUAUCCUAUAGUAUUUAAUGCUGUAGCUCGCCUAGUUUGCUACAUCAUAAAAGGAAAUCUGUUGCCUAGAUGGUAGCCUAUUUGUAAUACAAAUUAGAUGAAACUAGACAGUUCCAUGAUUUCAUCUUGUAAGUAAUAUUAUGUGUACUAGACAGGUGAUCUGACGUAAAGAAUUAUCAUGUGUGGAAUAAUUUUGCUCUUAUGUGUAGAACUUUUCUUUGUAAUAUGCACUAGUCUGGAUGUGUGCUUAGGGACGUAUACUGACAAGCAAGCAACAGACUGCUUGGAUUCCUACCAUGGCUUUGCUUGACAGGGUCAUAGAGAAGUGUUGUAACCUCCAUUUACUUUUCUUACUAAUACCAUUUUUGGCUAGUGAAAAUACAUUAGUGUUUGCACCCCCCCCCCUAAUUAUGCUGUGACCUGAAAAAGAUGGUGUCUGUAGGUGGGGAGGAGCGUACAAUUCAAUUUAUGGAAAGUCAGACGGUAAUCACUGCCAGCACCCCUCUUUUGGAAGAUGCAUAUUCAUAUGGUGUUGUGGAACAUCCUUUUCCAUUAAAUUGGUUCUUGAAGGAUUGGUAUCUUGGUCCCAAGUUCUAUCAUGCUGUAAAGAUUGGAAUUGUUCAGUAUGUAUGUGUUUAUAUUUCUAAGAAGCUUCCAUUAGAUUACCUUCUUUCUUUUUUUUGUAAAUUUUACAGCCUUCCGGUGCUUAUCAAAGUAUCUGUCUUUCAGAUGAUACUGAAGAUGAUCUGCGCAUUAUUGGCAAUGAUUUUGCAAUCCUUUGGAGUUUAUGGAGAAGGAAAGUUCGAAUGGAGAUAUGGGUGAGAUAUAUGCUUUCCACAUUUAAGAAUCUGAAAACUUCAUUGCACGUAAAUAAUCAUCAUAGAUGGCUAUGGAUUUCUUGUAUAUUUUGUUUUAGUAGUUUUUUUUUUUUGUUGGGGUGUACAUCAUCACAUGCUGACCUUACGACUCCUAUUCUCUGGCAGUUAUCCAUACUUGGCUGUUGUACUUAAUUUCAGUCAGACCUGGGCCCUAUAUUGUCUUUUACAGUUCUAUGCUGUUACUAAAGAGAAGUUGGAACCAAUUAGACCUUUGGCUAAGUUUUUGACAUUCAAGUCAAUUGUAUUCCUGACAUGGUGGCAAGGUGUAGCCGUUGCAUUUCUCUUUUCCAUGGGAGCUUUUAAGGGGUCAUUGGCUCAGGAACUGAAAACACGAAUUCAAGAUUAUAUUAUCUGUAUUGAGGUAUGCUUUUAAAUAAUAUAUCUAUGUUAACAAUUCGCUGCAACUGUUACGAUGUUUUCCCCACAUCUUAGUGGCAACGAAUUGGUUAUUCUGGAAACAAACUAGUCUAGUAUCUGAGCAACUAAGCAAUGAUGUUUUGAGGUAUCGAAAAUUUCCUGUUGCUGGUCUCUACAAGAUGAUAUGUUCCUGAUCUUGUUCUCCUUGUUUUGUUCUUUUUUGGGUCCUGGUAGGGUGUUAUUUGUCCUGUCCUCUUAGGCAUUAUUACAUGAAUUUGUUCUCGAGACUGAAACCUCUUUUAAAACUAUGUUGCUUGCAUAUCUAACACAUCAAAGCAGGCAUGGUGAUAGGGUCUUUUGAUACUCCAAAUGUGAGAGAAAGCUAGAGAUAGUUAAACACACUUGUCUUGUUCCAGGUCUGACAUUCCUGAUUUUGAGCAACGUAGGUUGGAAAUGCCUGAAAUGGUACCUUUAGCAUUUAGAUUCGUAUUUUUUGAGGUGUGAUGUUUCUGAGAGUCUGCAUACUAUGGAUGAGUUCUGUCAUUAGGUUUCCUGAUGAUGUGUAGUUAUUCUCAUUUGCUGAAAAACUGUUGUUUCUUUUGCUAAAAUUAUAAUUUAUUUCCAAAUGUAAAGUUAUAUUCAUGCGGAAGGUUUAAAGUAAUUUUUGCAAAAUAGAUGGGUGUUGCUGCUGUUGUGCAUCUUUAUGUCUUCCCUGCGGUACCUUACAAGCGUGGAGAAAGAUGUGUCCGAAAUGUAGCUGUUAUGACUGACUAUGCAUCUCUGGGAACACCCCCAGAUCCCGAGGAGGUCCAAGAUUGUGAAAGAACUACUAGGAUGCGCUUGGAUCGACAUUAUGAAAGGGAGAAGCGUUUGAACUUUCCCCAGAGUGUUCGUGAUGUGGUCUUGGGAAGUGGUGAAAUUGUAAGACACUUAAGUAUUUGCUUGUCUGGCAGGAUACUUUUUCUGUUUUCUUGUUUUCUUAGUUUUUGUUGCCUUGAGAUGAAAGUUACUAAAGAGCAGGAAAAAUAGUUAUAUAUGUAUGUAUGGCUGUAUAUAUAUAUAUGUUCUGACUUUGUCAUCCUUGUAUCGUAUUUCUAGAUUGUUGAUGACAUGAAGUAUACAGUGUCACAUGUUGUUGAACCAGUUGAAAGGGGAAUUGCAAAAAUAAAUAAGACCUUCCAUCAGAUAUCAGAGAAUGUGAAACGCCAUGAAGAGGAGCGGCGGAGGAACUCUAAGGAUGACAGUUACCUUGUCCCAUUAAGUUCAUGGAAUAGGGAAUUUUCUGAAGCUCGUGAGAAUGUUGUAGAAGGCAGUGUUAGCGACAGCGGUUUGGCAGCCACCGGGAAGAGAAAUAAUAAUAUCCAAGCUCGGAACAGAAGUGCUAGAUAGUAUGUGCGGGUAGCUGUUCAUUGCAAUUGGAGUUAACAAAAAAGUAUUUGAACAUGGUAAUUUUAGUGGACAAUAUCAAAGAUGCUUUGGAAAUUCGAAUCUUGUCAGAUAUUGUUUUCUCCCACUUGCCCCCCCCCCCUUUUAAAUGCUUGGUUGGAAUGAUGGUCCCAUUGGAAAGGGGUUGGGAGGGAACAAAACCUCCAUACUUUUCUAACAUUGAGAAAUGUAUAGAGCAGAGGCCCCCCGACUUAACUGCAAAAUUUUGCUGCAGUUUGGUAAAUUGUAUAGAAUACACUUUUAUGAACAGGUGAAAAUCAUGAUGUUACUAUAUACACCCCGUUGUACAAGUAAUAUUUACUUUUUCUUUUUUGGUUUGGAUCUUUUGCCUUUGUCAAAUUUAUAUUCAACUACAGAAACGUUUGGAAGCAAAGAUCACUGCUGAGCCUGAGAGUGGUAGUAGCUUAUUAAGGCUUUUAUGUUUUGUAGAAGCUAUUUCUUGCGUUACUAUGCGAACCGAAACGCGGGGAUAUACGGAGUUACGAGUUAGAUUUUGAGGGUUCUGUCAACGAUGGCCCAUUCUAGUUUUUUCCCCGAGAAUAAAUUUGUUACUUGUUCGGAUUAUAAUAUAAUUAAUAAUAAUUUUAUUUUUUAGUUCUCAGCAACUGAUUAGUAAAAGGGUAGACUAUCCUGAUACAAUCAUGGUUCAAGGGAGGGGGUUCUUGUUUUGGUAAUUGAAAUUUCUUUUUCUUAUAAUUUUGUUGCCUCGUUACUUCAAUUAGUGUAAUAACAAAUCUAGUCUCUUAGUUAUUCAUGAAAUCGCCUAUUUCAUUACAAGUAGCUUCUUUGCAUGCUGAUAGGAUUGGAAGUACAACGGAUUGAUUGUUAUUGUAUUCGCUUAGUCUGUUUUUAUCUACCUAAAAGAAUUCUAGCCUCUAAUAUUUUAUAUACUAUUUUAAUUUAAUCUUAACUUUAAAAGUUGACAAAUUUAACUGUUAAUGUUCUACAUAUUUGAUCAAUUUGAUUAUUAUUCUAAAAAUCUAAAAAUGUAAUUAUAAAAAAUUUAAUAUUUUCAAAAAACAAAAAAAAUAUAUAUAUAAACAAAAAGUUGUUGAAAUUUAUAAAAAAAAAUUCAAAAUAAAUUAAAAUAUUAAAAAAUAUAUAAAAAUUGCUUAAAAUGGUUAAGCUUUAAAAUAUUAAAUAAAAAUCUAUAAUAUUUUUGAGGUAUGCUAUUAUAUGAAGAUUUUCUAGGGUUGCAUAAUCAAAUGCAAAAAUAAUUUUACUUUCUCAACUUUUUUCAAUGCUUGGUUUUUGAAGUUAUUAUACCUUGUGUUUUUACAAUGUGUAAAUGUUAAAGAUUAAUUUAGUUGAAUUUUCAAAUUUAGAAUUCAAUUGAAAUAAUAUGUAAAAUUAAGAAUUAAAUUUAUUGUUAAGUCAAUCUAAAAGAUCUUUAAUAGUAGAAUGGCUAUAAUUUGAAAUUGACCUAAUGAGGUGACAACAUUAAAAAAAAAAUAGGAAUGAUCAAAAUAGGAAUACUAAAUUGUUGAUUUGAAAUUAAAGAAAAAUGCUUAUUCGUUGUUUGUCUAAAUUAUUAUAUAAAAUUAUUUAUUUAUGGAUGAGGAGCAUAAUCUUAAUCAUUCACAAACAUGUUUAAUUGUAUGUCUAUCUAUUUAAGCGAAACAACCUGAACAUAGUAAUUGUAAAUAAACUGAAACUGGACUUAAAUUUGAAGCUGUUAAUAAACAUAAAACAUUGAAUCAACAUGGAUCAAAUUUAACUUAAGAUGUGAGACAAAAAUGGAGGAAUUUUAUGAAGAGUAAUGUACCAAACCAAACUAUGUCUGUGCUUGAAAGGUAUAUAUAUACUUGAAUACCUGAAUUGUGAUAAUUUAUUGAAAUGAUUGCAGUUGUAUAUGAUUACUUGAUAAUAUUCAAUACUUAAUAAUGAUAUAUUGUCCUAUUAUCGUUGUCGAAUAGAGUCACAGAUAUAACUGGCAUGUCAUAGGGUUCAUAUUGAUAAGUGGGAGAUUUAGCACUAUGCGCGUAUAUAUUGUGAUAGUUCUCUAAUACCCUGGGGGUCAAGAACAACUCAAAUACCUUAGAGGGUACGAGCGUAUUCUGGUGUGGUUGGUGGGAUCAGUGCAUUUAUACUUGAUUAACACUUCAGUGUAUUUGGUGUGAUGGUGGAUUGAUCCGUGUAUCCGUUUUUGUAUCCAAUUGAGUUAAUAGGGAUUAAAAUGUAAAAAUAGCAUGUUAAACAUAUAUGUAAUUGGAAAGAGAUAUUAAUGCUAGUAUGAAAUAUGAUUUAAAUAUAAUUUGGUCAGAUGCAAAUACCUUGAGGGUGCAUAGAAAAUCUUAUAAUGUUAACAAGCAUCUAAAUGAAAUGAACAUGAUUGAAUAAUAAAGGGGUAUUUGGUUUUAUGGUAUAUACGUGCUAAUGAAAAUUGAUAUAAAUUUAGUUAUGGAUUAAAUUUGAAUCGAAUUAUGUUAGCACCACUAAGUAUACUUUACUCAAUGUAUGAAUUUAUGUGUUUUCGUGCGCAGGGUUUCGAAUAAAGCUAAAGAAAUUCCACAGUCAAGCAUCCAAUAUUAAGUUGGUUGGCUUGUUGCCUAAGUUAAUUUUGACACUUUUGGUAAGUGACCUAUAAUAUUAUAAUGGUUGAAAUUUAUCUUGUGCUUGCUAGUUGAUUAAGCUUAAUAAUAUUAAUUUGAAUGAACAAAUUGGUUGGUUUACUAAGGUUGUAUUGGAGGUUAUGAUCUGAAAAUGUUUGAACAAGUUUGAUAGGUUAAUUGGAGGAAUAUGUUUUGUGGUACAUUUUAGGUAUGUUUAGGUUUAUUUGGUUAAGGCUUAAAAUACUUAAAAGUGCAGGAUUUCGACCAUUUGGUCAUUGAGUCUUGAGACAGAAAGAACUUGUCUCGAGAUCGCUAAAAUAAAUUUCAUUUAAAUUUUACAUUUAAGUGUUUGAGGUCUCGAAACAAUUGUUCCUAAGCUCGAGAUAAGUGGUCUUUAUCUCGAGACAAAAGAAUAUCAAAGAUAAUAGAUUUUGCCUUGCUCCAGGUCUCGAGACAAGAAUCCCUUGUCUUGAGAGAUUCAAACAUCAAAGCAAAAAUAAGAAAAUAGGGGAGGUUGGUCUUGAGACCUAGUCUCGGGACAUAAAGGACCUUGCCUCGAGACACAUGUAGUGUCUUGAGACAUGUUAACUUCGAAGCUAAAAAUCCCAUAAUAAUUUAUGACCUGUCUCGAGACACGAAAACCCUUGUCUCGAGACAUAAAUUUGAAAUUUGACUUUUGAUUUUGGAUUCGAGUCCUAACUUUGAAAUUAACCUUUAACACCCCAAACCCAUAUCCAUCGCCGAAUUAGGGUUACGAGGUAUUACCGAACAAAACAUAGUUCAUCACGAUCAUUUAUUACAAUUCAUGCACGAAAUUAUAAUGACUUCUUACAAUAGUUAUCAAAUUCAAAUAGGAACCAUUCACUUAUUUAUAAAAGUCAAAUUCAUAUAUAUAAAGCCCAUAACCAAUUAAUUAAAGCAUGCAUUAUUAAUUAUAUUACAAAUACGAACCAUGCUUCAAAUUCAAUCAUAUCAAUAUCCUCUAUUCAAUAAAAUUACUAACCAACCAACAAUCAUCAAAAUCAUAGUACACGUGCUUCAGAAAUACAAAGUUCGAGCUAUGUGACCAUCAAUUACAUGGCAUUUGAAUACCUAAAUAACAUAAUUCACCUCAUAUACCGAGCAUACAUUAAGACACCCUUUAGUACAAUUUCAUGCCUUCAACUAAAUACUAAACAUACCAUUUUCAUAUGCUAAGCAUCAUGCCAAAAUUUCAUAUUCACAACCAAUUCAUUUCUCAAUUAUUUGGCUAGCAAAUUAGCCUCAAAAUACAUACCAAUUCCACCAUUCAAAAUUAAGCUAAACAUAAUAUUUCAUAACCUAAUACAAACAUCAACAUGUCACUUAUAACUAUAUAUAUAUAACCAACGAAACAAACUUAAAACAUAGUCAUUAUUCACCAUAUAGAAUCGUACCAAAAUAACCAAUACUCAAUCAAUAUAUAUUCAUCAUUUACCUCAUUGCUAAAACCAAAACAUAUAACCAUGAAACAUACUUCCCAAAAUGAACUUUUACCAUAACCGAAUAUAUACAAACAUUAGCAUCAUUAUCAAGCCAUUUUCGCAUGGCUACAAAUAUACAGAUCAAAACGAACCAUAUCGAAACUAGCCUAUACAUGCCAUAUGUCGAAAGUACAAACUUUUAAAGCACCGAAAUAGCGAUCGAUAGUGUGACGAUGUUCCUAGACGAUCCCCAAACUCGAGCUAGCUUUAUAUAUCUAUAAAACAGAAAUAAAAACGCACAAAGUAAGCUUUGAAAGUUUAGCAAGUCAUAAGCAAAUAAAUAGUCAUAAAAACAUACAUAAUCUCUUUCAACUAAGCCGAAUAUAACUAGUCUCAAACACAUAUAGAAACACUUUUCUAAUGUAUUUCACUUUGUCUCAUUAACAACAUCACUUACCUUUUUAUUUCAAAGUACAUAUCAAUUUCACACAUACCUGAAUCGUUUAUCUCUUAUACCCAUUCCGUAUCGUAUUAGCUUUACCCGUUGAACCAUUCAGAAUUGUUAAGGAUACUCGAAAACACAUUUAUCACAUACAAUGCCAUAUCCCAAAUAUGGUCUUAUAGGUUAUCACAUAUCUAUGCCACUGUCCCGGACAGAAUCUUACACGCAAUCUCAUAUCGAUGCCAAUGUUCCAGACAUGGUCUUACACGAAAUCACACCUCGGAAGUCCUAAUGUCAUGACAUUUGUAUCUUAUACUAUUCCUAAGGUUCGUACGAGACUUUCGGACGUUGUAACUCUGUCAAUUUUGACUCAUCUUUUCAACAUUUGAUACAAUUCAAUGAUAAUAAAACAUAAUUAAAACAAUUUAAACGUAUUUAUUUGCAUAUGAACUUACCUCGGAUACGGAACGAAUGGGUCGGAUCGACUACUCGAUAACUUUCGACUUUCCCCGAUCUAACUCCGAUUUCUUUCUUUCUUGAUCUAAAUCAAUUAAAAUUUAAUUUAUUUAAUCACAAAUCCAUUUAAUUUCAUCCAAAAACAUAUAAAUGGGCAUUUUGUAGUUUAGCCCCUAAAAUUUCACGUUUUCUCAAUUUAGUCCCUAUUUCAAAACAACACAAAAUACACAUAAUUUCAUUAAACUCAUGCUUGGCCGAAUCUUCCCUAGGUCCUUAGCAGCCCAUUAAUUAAAUUUAUUUUACAUUUUAACCCCUCAAUUUACAAAUUUCACAAUUUAAUCCUUAAUAAGUCUUUUUAUCAAAAAUCACUUAGUAAAACAUGAUAAUCUAACAUCAAAUAUUUAUUUUUCAUCAUCAAACAAAAAAAGCUUGAAUAUUCAUCAAUGAAAUUUCACAAAAUCAUCAUCAAAUUUGAAAAUUAAAGCAUGGGCUAGCUAGAAUACAAAGCAACGAUCUCAAAAACGUAAAAAUAAUAAAAAACCGAACUCAAAACAUACCUCAAUCAAUACUUCAAAGUGCCGAACCCUAAAGCUUCAAAAUGGUUUCUCUUCUUUGUUAUUUUCGUCUAAAAAAGAUGAACAUGCAUGAAUUUUUAUGUUUUGUUUUAUUUAUUACAUAUUAAUAUGCCAUUUACUUAUUUACCCUUAAUGAAUAAACAUAGAAAUUUAUAAUGCAUGUCCAUUAACACUACCAAUGGUCUAAUAUCAUCAUAAGCACUUUUAAUUUAAUUAAUCAUAGCAAUUGAUCACUUUAAACAAAUAGUAUGUAACUUUUGUAUUUUACGCGAUUAAGUCCUUUUAUCAAAUUAAUUAACCAAUCGGUAAAAUUAAAUCACGAAAUUUUCAUACAUAUCAAAUAACAUACUAUAAAUACCAAAAAUAAUAUUAGCAUAAUUUUACGACCUCAAAUUUGUGGUUCCGAAACUACUGUUCCGAUUUAGCUAAAAUUGGGUUGUUACAUAACCUUUAUAACCACGUAAAUUGAUGAAAUAAAAGCAAUGAAUGUAUAAAUGCAUGUAUAAGAAUUAUUUUGACGAUUGAAUUGAAUUUAUUGUGUUAUAGGAACUUGAGUUGCUUCGGCGAUGUAAUGUGAUAUCACACAUUUGGAUAUGACGACCGAGUCGAGUGUGGGGUGUUACAAUUUAUACAUUUUAAUUUUAUUAUGAACACUUUAUUACCUCCAUCAAUUGUAUAAACCAAUAAUGUAGUUGAUAUUGAUAAUGUUGUUUAUAAACAAUUGUAUUCAUUUAAUAUUCUUAAUAUGAUGUAUUUAUGUGUUUAAAUUUCAUUUUAAUUACAAUUUAAUCUAUUUUUUUUGGUAAAAAGUACCAAGGAAGCCCCUAUUCUUGGGUGGAUUGCAUUUUGGCCCCUUUAUUGAAAAAAAUGAGCAAAUUAGCCAUUACACAUUAUGAAACGUGCAAAUUAACCCCUCCGUUAAAAUUUUCUAUUAAAUAAUGACGUGGCACAUGUUAAAUUUUUUUACGGGCAAACUAUAAAAAUGGUCAUCCAACUAUGUCUUUCAUUCUAUUUUGGUCACCCAACUAUUAAUUUUUUCAAUUUAGUCACUAAUUUUUUUUGAAAUCGAAUAUUUUAGUCACUCUAAGUUGAUGUGAGUUUUUUUAUUGGUCUAGUAACAAAAUUAGCCUUCUAAUGUUUACACAUUCUAUCAAUUUGAUCUUAAAUAUAAAAAAUUCAACAAAUUUAGUCACUCUAAGCUGAUGUGGGUUUAUUUAUUUAUUUAUUGUAUGUUUUUUUUAAACACAAAUCCAUAUUUCCGGUUACUUAACCUUGGAUUGAAUUAACAUAGAUAGUAUCCAUUUUGUCUUUCUUUUAACAGUUUUGGUAUAGGUUUCCCCAGUUAGUUUCUACUUUCUACAUGGUUCAAACUACCAUUCAAUUCAAAUUAAACAACAAUAUUAUAUAUAUAUAUAUAUAUCAUAUGAUCCUCUGUAUAUUAUAUUACAUGUCUAAACACGUUAGAAAACUAAAGUAGCUGUUAAAAGCAGAAUUUUUGCUUACAAUUUACAAGGCUAUUUACAGAUUAAUAAUAUUUUCCCCAGCAAAAUAAAACCAAACUCCAUAUGCCUCACUUGCCAUUUUUCUUCUCCUCAGCUAGAUUUCAACCUAUCCAACCGGUAAAGCCUCUGCAUAAAUUAAGAAACAAAAGCAUUAGCCGAUGAACUCGAAGCCCGAUGAUGAUAAGUUUACAAACAUUCUCACCAUGACGGAAUGGAUCUGUUCUAGAAAAGGCACAAGUAACGUAAUCAAUGUCUGCAUUUCCUCUUUAAGGUUGUCGCAAUUUUGAUCUUUUGCCAUGAGGAGACUAAUGAAUGUUUUGUUAUCUGGUACCAGUUUUAGUGCCACCUGCAUGCUUCAAAUCUCUUAGUUCAUCAUGUUAAGUUAAUGACAAUGCUUAGAACAGUGCUUAAAGUAACAUGCCAAUCCAUGACUUACAUAUAAUGUGGAAAUGAAACAUUUCUAGGCUGUUCUUGAAAUAUUAUAUGCCUAUGCUAGAAUUUCAGCCUAAAUCUGGUCUAUGAGUACAUGAACCAAUCGGCUAAGCACUCGGUUAAUCAAGGUCUUUUAGGUUAAAAUAAGAUUUGUUGUAAUUGGCGCAGGUGCCUAAAUACCUUAAAAGCAGCCGACGAAAUCCAUCCAUGCCUAGGCUUCAAAGUAAUAUUAUAGGAUUCUUCAACUGCUUGUUCCAUGUUCUGCCCAGGAUCCUUCACCAGUUUUUGUAACAAAGCUACCAUAAAAUCCAUUGACCUGAAACCGACACAAGUUUAUUUUCUUUGGGUUAAAUGCCUUUCACCCAGAGCAAAAAGCUGGUUCCAUCCAGAACUUUUGCAAGUGCUAAUGAGGCAUGUUAACGAAUUUGUUAAUGGCAUGAACAAUCUGUUUCUUUUCUAACAUUUGCUAAAGCAUGGAUGGGACAGCAGACAUGGCAGACAGAACCUUGUUUCAAACUUCAACUAGGACAAUGAAAAUUUGCAAAAGAAUAAAGAAACAGUAACAGCUUGUCUCUGUUUCUUGUACUAAAAGACAAAUCAUAAACUUCGUGAAGACCCAUAAAAGAGAAGUUCGAAGAUAGAAGAAUACACCAAAUUUUCAUUAAACUUCGAUAUGUCAGCCAUGGCAGACAAUCUCAAAGUUUGAUUAUUAGGAAAAAGUUAUUCAGAUCUGUUAACCAUUUUACUAGCUGAGACUAAACUGGGAUCAAUGUUACUCCGAUUCUUAAUUUAUUUUCUUUUUAAAAAACACUGUGUCUCAUAUAUAUUCGGCAUUACGUAGUGACACAAAUGUUGGUCUAAAUAUAUAAAACUUACAAAAUUUUGAUACUAUAUAACACUCGGCAUGGAGGAGAGUUUACCUGGUAAGCCAGAGAAGGGCUUUACUGCAACUGCUACCCUUUCUUGCAUUGCCUUCACUCUCUUCCUUUUUCAAUAUCUCAAUCAAAUUUAAAUACUUUGUGGGAUCAGAUUCGCAAAGAUUCUCCAAUCUCUAAAAACGGAGAGAAAGAGUUCCGUCAAUGUUCAGUAAUCAAUAAAAUGACCAAAAAAACAUGUCCCUACAUGCACAUAACUGCCCUUGUAAAAACAGGUAAAACAACGGAAAUGAAGACAAAGAAGUGCAAGGUUUGUUGCAAUGUCACAAGGGUGGUGUUCUUUAAGAAUAAAUUCCAUUAUGUUGUGGUUUAUUUUUAACCUGGAUAUUUUGGUGAAUGUCUUGUCUAAGGACAGCCAUAGUUGGGCCUAUCUUGUCUGAAAAAAAAAAGAAAAGAAAAGGAGGUUCAGUAGACAUAUUGAAAACCACACGUUUGAAGAGAGAUAACAAGUGGAGAAAAACUGACCAAGAACUUGAAGAAUCAAAGUACAGACAUGAAGAAAAGGCUUGGUUGGGAUAGGAGCGGCAUCGAGAUUAAUAUCGCCUACAGUUGCAGGCUGAGCUUUGACUAACAUGGACAGUUCUUCAAUGGCGGACCUUAUCUCCGAUUUUCCCUCCAUUUCCCUUUUUCUCUUCAUUUCAGUCUCGACAACAUCCGCAUGCUAUUUUGUUGAUUGAUUCUAGCUAACCUUAUAUAAGUUUUUUUUUUACUUGAGAAAAGCUUGCUGGCAUGAACAAUCAUGGACAAAUCUCUAUCCCCAAACCCCUUCCUUAUUUUAAUUUGCUUAGAUUGUACUGUUUAAUAAUUGUUUAAUAUUGAAUAUGUGUUUCUUCUGUAAGCCGUUGAUAGUGACUUUGUAUUUGACCUUGAAGUUAUCUAUGAACUAUCCAUCUUAAUUACUGUUUUUUAAGAUCUCGAUCCACUGUUUUAUUUAGCCUGAGUUUUGAUCUCAUCCAUGACCGCAUGAACUGUUGUGGGCCCUAGUACUAAUAAUUUUAAUAUACAAUCGUUUGCAUUUAUAUUUGUUGAUUGUUGAUUUGAAGAAUAUUUAUCGUCAACUUGGCCACACUGAGGGAGUAAAACAGAUUAGGAUAUCUAAUAUUGAUCUAAAACAGCCGAUGCUUGUCAACAGGCUUGCCCUUUGCAUUUAAAACAACACUUUUAUGAUUUUGAGGUCUUAACCAUCUAUAUAUCAUUACAAAUGUAUGAUUUCUUACAAAAUUAAAAUUAUAAUUCGUGUUUCAUUCAAAUUACGGGUUGACUUGUCCCAUCGGGUUUUUUUCCCACUUGUUUUGAGAUGAUGGCAUUCUUUUUUCAAUUAUACAUACAAUGAGGUGCGGGAGGUUGGAUGUGUUUCAUACGGAGGAUUGAAAGCAGUUAGUGGUGAUAUUUAAAGUGUUCUAGGGUAUUUGGUCAAAGUUUUAGAAGUAUAUAUGGAAGCUGGUUGGAGCCUUCUUGGAGAGUUUAUGCUGAGAAAGAGCUUAGCAUGGGCCCCUUCGAUAGGUGCCUUACUUUGUAGGGCCAUAGAGUGUUGCUAGUAGGGGGUUAUGCAAAACCCUGGUAUGAAGUGAUUUGAUGGUAAACUUGAUAAUAACGUGUAGAAUUUGGUAGUAAAAUUAUAAAGGGCCGUGCAUGUGAUGGAAUGGACAUCUUAACAAGACUCGAGCCCCCUUCUUCUAGUCAAUGGGCAAGUUAUAAAGUGACAUUCUUUGAGGGAAUAUAUCCCAACAAGGUGAUUUAUGUUUUCGAUGAGUGGGAUACCUUAUUAUUGAAGUUUUUGAUAAAUAAAAAAUAAUAAUUUCCUCUUUUGAAAGUGGAUACUAAAGACUUGCAUAAGGCAUAUGUAAAUUACGUCCAAUGCGAUAUAAAAUGUGGUCAAUGAAAGUUGGUAACAAUUCACAUGGUGGUGUCGAGAGCCAUUCAAAGUGGUUCAUGAGAUUCAAGAGGUUUCUAUGUGAUCUAGGAAGAGUUUUUAUUAUGGAAAUGCUUUCCUUUUUAAAAGGGCUUAUAUUUCUUAGAGUAGGUUCUCUGCGGCAAGUGUCUCAUUUAGAAGAAAUAAUUAGUUGAGUUAUGGUGGUACUCCAAUGUAUGCACUUGGAUGUGAUUAGGGGACUUUUUGUCCUAACGAAAGGUUUGCAUAUAAGGCUAAUGUGAAUAGGCACUUGGCUAUGUGUUAUACAUAUAAUAGAUAGGUUUUGGUGAAGGAAAUGGUUUAGACCUUAUAGGCAUAAAAAUCAUAUGGUAGCUCUUUAGACACAGAUUAGGCUAGGUACCUCUUUGGGUAAGGCUACUCUUUGGGCGAGGCAACUCUUUUUGGAUGAGGUUGGUUUUUUAGCUAGCCCUUUUUUGGGUGAGGUUGCUCUUUAAGUUAGCUCAUCUUUGGACAAGGUUGCUUUUUUAGCAAACCUUUAUUUUUGGGCAAGACUGCUAUUUUAGUAGCCCCUCCUUGGAUGAGAAUGCUCUUUUGGUUAGCCGCUAUUUGAGUAAAGUUGCUCUUUUAGCUGGCUUUUCUUUUUGGCUGGGGUUGUUCUUUUGGUUAAUGUAACACCCCUAACCCGUGUCCGUCGCCAGAUUGGGGUUACGAGACAUUACCGGACAUAACGUAUAUUUCAAGUUUAACAUAACAUAUGAAACCUUUAUAAUAAUACAAAACUGAAUAAUGCACUAUAUAUAUUUAUUAUGAUUAUUUAAAAAUAAACAUAUACUAAAUGAAACAAUCCAAGUAUACCAAAUUUGCAUGCUUAAAAAUCAAUCCAAAGUACAUAUACUAACCAUUCAAGCAUAAUAAAAGUGCACAUUUUGCUAUUACAACUAAAUGAAAGUACACUAUGUUUAUUCAAACAUAAAAUGAUAAUUUAAUAAAUACCUUGAUACUUAAGAAUAUACUUACUCUUAUCAUUUUAAAGAAAUCAUAACUUAAAACUUAAAGACUAAGAUAAAAAAUAACAUAUACAAUAUUGAACAUUUCAAAGAACCAAAAACAUGCAUUUUAUCCAUUUACAAACUUGCACAUAUAUAUAUACCAUUAACCAUUUUCGAAUAUCCAUGUUUCAUUAUCACUACAAAACUAAUUAAAACAUAUUUCGUCAUUGUAUAACUCUCAAACCAUAGUCUAUUUAUGUCUUCAUGAAAUUCACCAAAACAUAUAUAUAUAACUUGAAUAACAAAUUAUGAGACUAAACAUACUAAAUUUGAUAGCAUAUAUUUAUGAAUAUACAAGGUAUCACUUAACACAUAAAUUUCAGCCCAAGGCACACAAAUUCAUAAAUUUUGUUACAUCUUAAACCAUGUAUCCUACCAUCCAAAAUGAGUUAAGUACAAAGUCGAAUACACACCAAAUUAAUACAUUCAUUACUCAUACCUAAUUUACUUAAGUUAUAUCAUAUCAAAUCACCAUAGCAAAACAUAUUAAACAUAUCAUAAAUAUACAUAUAUAACAAGAAAAUUAUGCACUUAAACUAUGAAACAUGAUGCCUAUCCUGAACUCAUAUUAUAGCCGAAUAUGCAUAAUCCCAAACAUCAUUUCAACUAAAUUUAUCAAAAGCAUAAAGACCAAACUUAACUAAAAUGAAUAAACCAUUACUAAACAAACCAAACACAAGCAUGGGGAUUAGGCCAUAUUCACAUUGCUAUUUAUAUGUACAUGUUUCAAAACUAAUUAAAAACAUAAGCAAACCUAUACACAUUCAAUUUAAUAACAUCUAAUCCAUGCAUAUUGGAACGUAUAACUAAUCUCAUAGCCAAAUCAACAAGUCCAAAUCCAUAUGCAUCACAUUUAUUUACCUAACACAAGCUUAUACCGUAAUCAAAUAUGCAUAAGCAUAAACUCCAUCAAAAGAAGACAAGCCAUUUUCACAUGGCUAUUAAUUACAUAUACAUAUAAUUGUUCCAAAAUCAACAUUCUAGCUAUGCUAUACAUGCCAUAUAUUCAAAAUUUACUUAGUAAAAUAUCGAAAGAAACUGUCGAUAGUGUGAUAGGCUUUGCUGAUGAUCUUCAAGCUCGUAACGGCUUCAAAAUCUAUAAAACAAAGGUAAACAAGUACACACACAAAGUAUGCUAUUUAAAGCUUAGUAAGUCAUAAGCAUAAGCAUGCAUAUUAAUUAUGGCAAGUAACAUUUAACUAUUAAGGUUAAAUUCACAUAAUUUACAAUAUAAAGAUAUCAUUUACUACAAGGUCAUACUUUGAUCACAUAUACAAGUUAUAUAGCCGAAUGUAACCUUUCAUAAAUACAUAUAAAUCUUUCACCUUUGACAUCAUAAGUAACACCAUAGGCCAAAUCAUAUAUAUAUAUAUAUGUCCAAACAUGUUAAUUCAAAAUUUAUAUUCAUAUACCUUAAAUAAUUCCAAGGAAACAACCUACCAUGUUUCCAUAUAUACAUUUAACUAACACAUACCUGAACAUGUAAUUCAAUUUCACAUCCGGUUUUCGCUUAACAUUGCCCGUUGAACCGUUCGAAAUUAAAAAAGAUACGCGGAUAAUCGGAAGGCUCGUACAAUGCCAACGUCCCAGAUGUGGUAUUACAUGUAAUCACAGAUCGAUGCCACCGUCCUAGACAGGGUCUUACACGAAAACACAAAUCGAUGCCAACGUCCCAGACGUGGUCUUACACAAAAUAGAUAUCGGAGAUCCUAUGUUAUGACAUAUGUAUCCUAUCUAUUCUUAGGGUUCGUACGGGGAUUUCAAAUAUUGAAUAUCGAUCGAACCGAACUUGAAACAUAAUCCCUAUCUCAAUAUUCACAUUCGGCCAAGGCAUAUAUCAAUUCAAAUAAUUCAGUUUAUCACAUAUCAUUCGUAUAUUCUCGAAUUUAACAACAUUUAAAUGCUUAUCGACUUACCUCGGAUAUCGACGGAUGAAAUUGACUAAUUGACUACUUUCGACUUCUCCCGAUCUAAUUUCGUUUUCUUCGGUUCUUGAUCUUAAUCAAGCUUUCAACAAUGGCCGAAUCAAGCUAGGUUUCUCCCUUUUUAUUUCUUUAGUUUCGGCAAGUGAGAAAAGAUGAUAAUGGCUUUCAUUUUUUUUGUUUUAUUUUAACAUAUAUUAUCAUUAUUAUUAGUUUACUAAAUUAACAUUUAUAUUAAUAAACAAAACACAUAUAUAUAUUAAGGUUACAUUAGUCUUUUGCCACCCACUAACUUACAUAGUGGGCUAAUUGCAUCAUAAAACCUCUAAAUUAUAAAGACAACAACAAUUAGACACUUUCAUAUUUAACCAUUAAAAUUUCAUUUUACGCGAUUAAGCCCUUUUCUCAAAUUAAGCACACAAACAAUAAAAUAAAUUCACGAAACUUUCACACAUGUAAAUGCACACAUAAUUAACACAGAAAAUAAUAUUAAAUUAUUUUUUAGACUCAAAUUUUUGGUCCCGAAACCACUAUUCCGAUUAGGGUCAAAAUCGGGCUGUUACAACUCCCCCCUUUAGGGAUCUUUGUCCCCGAAAAUCUUACUGGUGAAUAGGUUUGAAUAACGCUCUUUCAUUGCAUCCUCUGGCUCUCAAGUUGCUUCCUCAACUCCGUGCUUAUGCCACAAUACCUUAACUAAAGGAAUUUUCUUAUUUCACAAUUCUUUAAUCUCGCGAGCCAGAAUACGAAUCGGUUCUUCUUCAUAUGUCAUAUCGGACUUAAUCUCAAUCUCUGUCGGACUAAUCACAUGUGAAGGAUCGAAUCGGCAUCUAUGGAGCAUUGAAACAUGGAACACAUUGUGAAUCUUUUCUAGUUCAGGUGGCAACAGUAGUCUAUAAGCAACCGGCCCAAUACACUCUAUAAUCUCAUACGGUCCAAUAAAUCUCGGACUCAAUUUGUCUUUACGACCGAAUUUGAGUAUUUUCUUCCACGGCGAGACUUUCAAAAACACUUUGUCCCCCAUCUAAAACUCAAUAUCUUUACUUUCAAGUCUGCAUACGAUUUCUGAUGAUCCGAUGUUGUUUUCAGACUAUCACGUAUCACUUUUACUUUCUGUUCAGUCUCUUUAAUCAAAUCGACCCCACGUAUCUUAUUUUUACUGAGCUCAGUCCAAUAAAAUGGUGUACGAUAUUUACGACUGUACAAAGCCUCGUAAGGUGCCAUUUUGAUGCUAGAUUGAAAGCUAUUAUUAUAUGCAAAUUCAAUCAAAGGUAAGUAUCGUUCCCACGUCCUUCAAACUCGAGAAUGCAACAUCUCAACAUAUCCUCAAGUAUUUGAAUGAUUCGUUCGGAUUGACCAUCUGUUUGAGGAUGGAAAGUUGUGCUAAAGUGUAGUUUCGUACCUAAAACAUCUUGCAGUUUCUUCCAAAACCGCGAUGUGAACCUUGGGUCUCUGUCUGAAACAAUAGAAAUAGGUACUCCAUGCAACCUCACAAUAUGAGAAACAUACAAUUCAGCCAACUUAUUAAGCGAAUAAUCUAUACGAACCAGAAGAAAGUGUACCGAUUUAGUCAAUCUAUCCACAAUAACCCAGAUUGCAUCUUUCUUGCUCGGAGUCAACGGUAAAUCGGAUACAAAAUUCAUCGUGACUUGUCCUAUUUCUAUUCCGGUAUCAUGAUCGGCUAAAGUAAUCCAGAAGGUACCUGAUGCUCAGCUUUUACUUGCUGGCAGACUAAACAUUUCGAAACAAAUUCAAAAAUAUUUCGUUUCAUACCAUGCCACCAGUAAAGCUGUUUCAGAUCAUUAUACAUUUUUGUACUACCCGGAUGAACAGAUAACCGACUGCUAUGAGCUUCGUUCAAAAUCAUUUGAAUCAAUUCUGGAUUUCUUGGAACACAUAUUUAGUUUCUGAACCUCAAACAAUCAUUAGCAUCAAUUCUCAACUCUGUUUCAUCGCUCGAUUCACAUAGAGCUUGCUUUGCUAACAAAUCAUUAUCAACUUUUUGAGCAUCACAAUUUUGUUGAACAAAUAACGGUCUUGCUUUUAAUUCAACUAUUAUCGAAUCAUCAUCAGACAUAGCCAUAUGAGCAUUCAUUACUCGCAAAGCAAACAAUGAUUUUCGACUUAAAGCAUCAGCAACAACAUUAGCCUUUCCCGGACGAUAGUUAAUUACAAGCUCGUAGUCUUUUAACAACUCUAACCAUCGACGUUGUCUCAAAUUCAGAUCUUUCUGAGUCAUCAAAUAUUUCAGGCUUUUGUGAUUAGAAUAAACAUGACAUCUCUCACCAAACAGGUAGUGGCUCCAUAUCUUCAAUGCAAACACAAUAGCUGUCAAUUCCAGAUCGUGUGUCAGAUAGUUUUUUUCGUGCGGCUUUUGCUGUCUCGAGGCAUAAGCUAUGACCUUGCCUUCCUGCAUUAAAACACAACCCAGACCACUCAAAGAUGCAUCACUGUAAAUGACAAAUUCUUUACCCGAUUCUGGCUGAACUAACACUAGAGCUUCGAUCAAAAGAGCUUUCAACUGAUCGAAGCUUUUUUGACACUUUUCUGACCACUCGAACUUAACAUCUUUCUAUAACAACUUUGUCAUCGGUGUUGCUAUAAUAGAGAAACCUUUCACGAAUCGUCUAUAGUAACCAGCAAGUCUCAGAAAACUCCAAACUUUAGAGACAUUUCUCGGAGGUUUCCAAUCAAGUGUAGCUGAAAUUUUACUCGAAUCAACCCGAAUACCUGAUGCUGAUACAACAUGACCCAGAAAACUGACUUCGCGUAACCAGAACUCACAUUUACUAAAAUUUGUAUACAACUGUUUAUCUCGUAAAAUCUGUAACACAAGUCUCAGAUGUUCGACAUGCUCGGUUUUAUCACGGGAAUAGAUCAAAAUGUCAUCUAUGAAUACUACCACAAAUCGAUCCAGAUACCGCCUGAAGAUCCGAUUCAUCAAAUCCAUGAAAACAACAGGUGCAUUAGUAAGUCUGAAAGGCAUAACCAAAAACUAAUAGUGUUCAUAUCUUGUUCGGAAAGCAAUCUUUCGUACACCAGAAUCUUUAACUCACAACUAAUAGUAAUCAAAUCUCAAAUCUAUCUUCGAGAAUACUGAAGCCCUUUUCAACUGAUCAAAUAAAUCAUCAAUCCGUGGUAACGGAUAUUUAUUCUUUAUUGUUACCUUAUUGAGUUGUCGGUAGUCGAUACACAUUCUCAUAGUUUCAUCUUUCUUUUUCACAAAUAGAACUAGUGCUCCCCAAAGUAAAAAACUCGGUCGUACGAAACCCUUAUCUGUCAACUCUUGCAACUGAGCUUUCAAUUCUUUUAAUCUUGUCGGUGUCAUUCUGUACGGAGCUAUCAAAAUCAGAUUCAUCCUCGCCACUAACUCAAUCCUAAACUCUACCUCUCGUAUCGGUGACAAACCCGAUAAUUCUUCAGAAAACACAUCCGGAUAUUCACACACAACUAGUAUUGAUUCAAUCUUCUUGUCCGUCACUUUACUAUCAAGUACAUAUGCAAAGUAAGCUUCGCAACCUUUUCUCACAUACUUCUGAGCUAACAUCGAGGAUAUCACUGCCGGUAACCCAUUCAGAUUAUUAGAUUCAAUCCAAAUAAUCUCAUUAUUCUGACACCGCAAAUCAAUAGUAUUUCGUUUACAGUUUACAACAGCAUCAUGCACGGUUAACCAGUUCAUACCCAAAAUUAUAUCAAACUCGUCGAAUGGUAAUAUCAUCAAGUCAGCCAAAAAACAUGAAUCUCAAAUCAUCAACGGAAAUUCUUGCAAACUUUGUUAACCAAAACAUACCGACCCAGGAGGUUCGAUAUUUUAAUUACAAAAUUAGUAGACUCAACAGACAAAGCCUAACUGGAUACUAAAGUAUCACAUACAUAUGAAUGAGUCGAACCAGGAUCAAUCAAUGCAAUAACAUUAGUAUCAUAGAGAGUGAAAGUACCAGUGAUAACGUUUGGAGAUGCAUAGGCUCUAGCAGGUGCGCGAGCCUCAGAUCUAAUAGCUGUAUCUUUGGUACCUCUUUGACUGCCACUCAUAUUACCCGUGUUUUUGGGUGGUCUACCUCUAGCUGCAGUGUUACCCGAUUUCGUAUUUUACACCAGAUUUUGACCCGUUAACUCUGGGCACUCACGAAUGAAAUGAUCCCUCAAUCCACAUUUAAAACAGGCUCGAUCAUGCAAUCUGCAACUACCAGGAUGUUUUUUACCACAAUGUUCACACUCGGGUUGAUUUGAUCUGACAUUACCCACACUAGCUACUGAGGUAGCUCUCGAGCUCAUAGGUGGUCUAUUACGAUCCCGUCGUGAAUACCCUGCAGUACCUUUGAACGGUUAGUAUCAUCUGGGAACUUCUUUGAUGUCAGCUGGAAUGACUUAUUGAAUGGUCUUUUACGUGAAUCUCUAGCUUCAGAGUCAGUUUUUCUUUUCUUUUUCCCGAGCUCUUCGACUUUGCAAACUCGCUCAACAAGUACCACGAACUCUUUUAUCUCAAGUAUGCCAACUAACAAUUUAAUAUCUUCGUUCAGCCCAUCUUCAAAUCUUUUGCACAUUAUAGCUUCGGUCGAAACACACUCUCGGGCAUACCAACUGAGUCUCGCAAAUUUUCGCUUAUACUCUAUCACUGUCAUCCGACCCUAUUUCAAUUCAAGAAAUUCCAUACGUUUCUGAUCAAUGAACCUCUGGCUGAUGUAUUUCUUACAGAACUCAGUCUAAAAGAAUUCCCAGGUUACUCGCUAUUUUGGAACUACUGAUACUAGUGUAUUCCACCAGUGAUAUGCAGUGUCCUGUAGCAAAGAUAUAACACAUUUUAAGCACUCGUUAGGGGUGUAAGACAACAAAUCAAACACUCGAAUAGUAUUAUCGAGCCAGAAUUCAGCUUGCUCAGCAUCAUCAUCAUCAGUGGCUCUGAACUCUUCAGCCCCGUAUUUUCAGAUUUUAUCAACAUGAGGCUUAAGCAAUCUCAACGGAUCACUCGCUUGAGGUAUAGCAGGUAUCGAAGAUAGAUUAGUCGGUGGUGGAGGUUGUUGUGCAACCGGAUUAGUCCGGAUAUAAUGAGUAAACCAGUCAUUUAUCAUUUGGUAAAAGGCUUGUUUAACCUCUCCCUCAUGCUUACUCGAGGUCGGUCUAGAAUCUACUAGCUUUGUCCCUUUCGCGAGAGCAGACGCUAUACUCUCAACAUCAUCAGCUAUGGCUCUAUCGGGAUCCAUUACUAUACGAAAACACAUUUUCAAAUGUCAGAAGUCAUUACACUAUCGCAGUAUAUAAAAAAAUAUGACAUGUAUAGCUACACCCACACGCGCUACGUUAGUCUUAGAAUCGACUAAACCGUAGCUCUGAUACCAAUUAAAUGUAACACCCUUAACCCGUGUCUGUCGCCAAAUUAGGGUUACGAGGCAUUACCGGACACAACGCAUAUUUCAAGUUUAGCAUAACAUAUGAAACCUUUAUAAUAAUACAAAACCGAAUAAUGCACUAUAUAUAUUAUUAUUAUUUAAAAAUAAACAUAUACUAAAUGAAACAAAUCAAGUAUACCAAAUUUGCAUGCUUAAAAAUCAAUCCAAAGUACAUAUACUAACCAUUCAAGCAUAAUAAAAGUGCACAUUUUGCUAUUACAACUAAAUGAAAGUACACUAUGUUUAUUCAAACAUAUAAUGAUAAUUUACUAAAUACCUUGAUACUUAAGAAUAUACUUACUCUUAUCAUUUUAAAGAAAUCAUAACUUAAAACUUAAAGACUAAGAUAAAAAAUAACAUAUACAACAUUGAACAUUUCAAAGAACCAAAAACAUGUAUUUUAUCCAUUUACCAACUUGCACACAUAUUUAAAUAUAUACCAUUAACCAUUUCCGAAUAUCCAUGUUUCAUUAUCACUACAAAACUAAUUAAAACAUAUUCGGUCAUUGUAUAACUCUCAAACCAUAGCCUAUUUAUGUCUUCAUGAAAUUUACCAAAACAUAUAUAUAUAACUUGAAUAACAAAUUAUGAGACUAAACAUACUAAAUUUGAUAACACAUAUUUAUGAAUAUACAAGGUAUCACUUAACACAUAAAUUUCAGCCCAGGGCAUACAAAUUCAUAAGUUUUAUUACAUCUUAAACCAUGUAUCCUACCAUCCAAAAUGAGUUAAGUACAACGCCGAAUACACACCAAAUUAAUACAUCCAUUACUCAUACCUAAUUUACUUAAGUUAUAUCAUAUCAAAUCACCAUAGCAAAACAUACUAAACAUAUCAUAAAUAUACAUAUAUAACAAGCAAAUUAUGCACUUAAACUAUGAAACAUGAUGCCUAACCUGAACUCAUAUUAUAGCCGAAUAUGCAUAAUCCCAAACAUCAUUUCAACCAAAUUUAUUAAAAGCAUAAAGACCAAACUUAACUAAAAUGAAUAAACCAUUACUAAACAAACCAAACACAAGCAUGGGGAUUAGGCCAUAUUCACAUGGCUAUUUAUAUGUACAUGUUUCCAAACUAAUCAAAAACAUAAGCAAACCUAUACACAUUCAAUUUAAUAACAUCUAAUCCAUGCAUAUUGGAACAUAUAACAAAUCUCAUAGCCAAAUCAACCAGUCUAAAUCCAUAUGCAUCACAUUUAUUUACCUAUCACAAGCUUAUACCGUAAUCAAAUAUACAUAAGCAUAAACUCCAUCAAAAGAAGAUAAGCCAUUUUCGCAUGGCUAUUAAUUACAUAUACAUAUAAUUGUUCCAAAAUCAACAUUCUAGCUAUGCUAUACAUGCCAUAUAUUCAAAAUUUACUUAGUAAAAUACCGAAAGAAACUGUCGAUAGUGUGAUAGGCUUUGCUGACGAUCCCCGAGGUCGUAACGGCUUCAAAAUCUAUAAAACAAAGGUAAACAAGUACACACACACAGAGUAAGCUAUUUAAAGCUUAGUAAGUCAUAAGCAUAAGCAUGCAUAUUAAUUAUGGUAAGUAACAUUUAACUAUUAAGGUUAAAUUCACAUAAUUUACAAUAUAAAGAUAUCAUUUACUACAAGGUCAUACUUUGAUCACAUAUACAAGUUAUAUAGUCGAAUGUAACCUUUCAUAAAUACAUAUAAAUCUUUCACCUUUGACAUCAUAAUUAACACCAUAGGCCAAAUCAUAUAUAUAUAUGUCCAAACAUGUUAAUUCAAAAUUUAUAUUCAUAUACCUUAAAUAAUUCCAAGGAAACAACCUACCUUGUUUCCAUAUAUACAUUUAACUAACACAUACCCGAACAUGUAAUUCAAUUUCACAUCCGGUUUUUGCUUAACAUUGCCCGUUGAACCGUUUGAAAUUAAAAAAGAUACGCAGAUAGUCGAAAGGCUCGUACAAUGCCAACGUCCCAGAUAUGGUAUUACAUGUAAUCACAGAUCGAUGCCACUGUCCUAGACAGGGUCUUACACGAAAACACAAAUCGAUGCCAACGUCCUAGACGUGGUCUUACACAAAAACACAUAUCGGAAAUCCUAUGUCAUGACAUAUGUAUCAUAUCUAUUCCUAGGGUUCGUACGGGGCUUUCAGAUAUUGAAUAUCAAUCGAAUCGAACUUGAAACAUAAUCCCUAUCUCAAUAUUCACAUUCGGCCAAGGCAUAUAUCAAUUCAAAUAAUUCAGUUUAUAACAUAUCAUUUGUAUAUUCUCGAAUUUAACAAUAUUUAAAUGCUUAUCGACUUACCUCAGAUAUCGAUGGACGAAAUCGACUAAUUGAUUACUUUCGAAUUCCCCCGAUCUAAUUUUGUUCUUCGGUUCUUGAUCUUAAUCAAGCUUUCAACAAUGGCCGAAUCAAGCUAGGUUUCUCCCUUUUUAUUUCUUUAGUUUCGGCAAGUGAGAAAAGAUGAUAAUGGCUUUCAUUUUUUUUGUUUUAUUUUAACAUAUAUUAUCAUUAUUAUUAGUUUACUAAAUUAACAUUUAUAUUAAUAAACAGAACACAUAUAUAUUAAGGUUACAUUAGUCUUUUUCCACCCACUAACUUACAUAGUGGGCUAAUUGCAUCAUAAAACCUCUAAAUUAUAAAGACAACUACAAUCAGGCACUUUCAUAUUUAACCAUUAAAUUUUUAUUUUAUGCGAUUAAACCCUUUUUCUCAAAUUAAGCACACAAACAAUAAAAUAAAUUCACGAAACUUUCCCAAAUGUAAAUUCACACAUAAUUAACACAAAAAAUAAUAUUAAAAUAUUUUUCAGACUCGAAUUUAUAGUCCCGAAACUACUAUUUUGAUUAGGGUCAAAAUCGGGCUGUUACAAUUAACCCCUUUUUAGGCAAGGCGAGGCCUGAAAAGGUGACCCUUAAAAUGAGAGUCUUAAAAAAAGCAAAGGUUGACUAGCCUUCACCUAUUAAAAAGUAAAGGUUAAUGUAAGCACAAAAUGCUUGAAAAAGAAAUGUCUUGCGAAGGCAAAUUUUAUGCGAUUUUGUCAAUAAAAUGCAGUUUCAUUCAACUUAAGAAAUACUCGAAAACUUAUAGAAAAUGACACUUAAGAAACAGUUGGAUCAUUUUACUAUUGGAAGUCUUCUAAAAUUUCUUGGUUUUGCAUGUUGGGAACAUUUUAUUUGGCAAUGACAUGGCUUAUUUUUCUGAUUUCCAUAGAUAACACCAAAAUUUUCAUGCAUGAUGAGCUGUCAGAAGUAUGAAGUGGUUCACAUGAAGUGCAACGACUCAAUUUUUAGUGGUGUUAGUAAAUAUGAUUUCAGAACCUCAUUUUCGUAAACAAAGUCCAUAAAUAUUAAAUGGGGGUAUUUAUAGAGUUAAUAUAUUGCUGAAUUGAAAAAUGUCUAAGUGAUUUAGUUGAAAUUGUGAGUAAUUUUGGCUUAGGGACAAAAUAGUAAAAGUUUAAUCAUUAUAAAUUUUUAAUAAGAUUAAGACCUUGGUGCUUAAAUAACAUUUUCAAAUGAUUAAAAUAAACCUAUUUUAAAUAGAUGGUGAAUGUCAUUAACAUUGAUUAAUUAAGGAUUAAGACAUAAGUAAGUAAGAUUAAACUAAUUAAUCAUGAUUAAUUACAAAUUAACCAUGGUAUUUAAGUGAAAAUAAGUGAAGAAAGCCAUCAUCUUCUCCAUUUCAUAACCGUCCACCAUAGCAAAGGAAAAGACGUAAGCUUCAAACCUAUUUUGACAUUUGGUCUUUAAUUACAACUAAUGACAACACUGAAGAGUCAAGAGGGAAAAGAAAAGCAAUAAUUGUCGAUGAGUGACACGCAAAACCUUGGUUGUACUUUUAUGAUUCGAGAUAUAAAUAUUUUUAUUGUGUAUGCAUACUUAUUGAAUGAUGAGUCCUUAUGAUGAAUCUUUUGUGAUAAUAUAAGAUGUUUUGAUUUAUUUGCUAUGGUUAAGACUGAAUGUCGAAACAUGAACUUAAUUGAAUAGAAUAGAAAGUAGUAUGAUUUAGCUGAUAAACGAUAAUUGGUAUGAAAUUGAGUUGAAAUAUGCUAUGUAUAUGAUAGAUUGAUGAUGAAUUGUGAAUAAUGUAAUGUAAAUUGAACAUUAAUACCCUAUUAACUAGUCAGGUUGAGUCGGAUAUAGUUAGCUUGCCAUAGGAUUAGAUUGUGUACGGGUUUAUGUGCUUACGCUCUAGGAUGCACUUGGUGUGCCAGGAUGCGCUUCGAGCGCCAGUAUGCACUUUACAUGUCAGUUUCCCUUGCUUGGUUUUUCUAUUAAUGCACUUCAGUGCCAGUUUGGUGUCUUGGUUGGAUAAUUCUUAUAUUUGUCCGAAUUCGAGUUAGGUUAAUAGGGAUCAUUAAUAAUAAGUUUGAUAACUUAUAUCAAAACAAAGUAAUAUAAUGCUUGAGUUUUUAGUCAAAGGAUAAAUUAUCUUUUUGAGUUUAUUCUUUACUUAUUCCAAAACUUUAUCUAUUCAACCAAACACAAUAAUACUAAUAUGUACAUAUUCUAUUCAAUGAACCAAAUCAAGUAAUAUCUAUUGUAGCUCUAUGCCAUUCUCAUCAAAUAUCAAUUCCAACUUUAUUCCAUUUCAACAAACCAAAUAUGUUGUUAAAGAAAACAAUACCUUCACGUUAUCAAUACGAUGUUCCGACAAUGUUAUUUGAGUUUCAUGAAUAAUGUAUCGUGUUUAUUAUUACUAAAAAUUUUAUCACACGCAUAUACAUAUGAAAAUUAUGUAUUUACAAUACAGAAUUGUGUUUAAAAAUAACAUAUAAUAAAUAAUGGAACAUAUGGUUUGGAACUAAUUAAUAAUAGCACAUGAAAUACACAUAAUAUUAAAAUGGAACAAAAAUAGAUUAAAUUGUGAGUAAAACGAAAUUUAAACAGGAAAAUACAUCAGGUUAAGAAUACUAAAUGAAUACAAUUAUUUAUCAUGGUAUUGUCAUCAAUUCUAAAUUGGUGCCAAGUUUUUUGUGACACUAAAUCAACAACAUUAUUAAUAUAUAUAUAUAACAAAUAUAUUUAUUAAAAUUUUAUAUAAAAUUAAGAAUUGCUUAGCUCAAAACUUUUUUUAUGUAUAUAGUGUCAUUGGGUGAAAUUGAUUAGGAAUAAGUUAAAAUGUAAUAAUAAUAAUAAUAAUAAUAAACCCCCGUAUAAUCAAAUCAUAUAAUUAAAAUAGAAGAAUUAAUUUAUAGAAAAAAGCCAGUAAGUUGGGAAAUAUAUUAAAGCAGUGUAAGAAGGUGGGAAUAUGGGUAAUCUAAUCUAUAUUUAGAUAAUCUUUGGGUAAUGUUGUUGAUGUUUUAAUGAAUAGUAGGGGUUGACUCUUCAAUAAGAAAAUAAGCAAAUUUACAUUUGAAAAUGUAUAUUCUUUGGUAGCUUUACAGUUGCAAUUCCUGUUGGUCGUUCCGCGCCUGGAGGAAGAAACCUACUUUAUAAAAAUAAAAAAUAAAAAACCAUAGCAGUAACAUUUCUUUAAGGUUGAAAUCUUCUUUAACUACUUGUACUUUUUGUAAUUUUCGAAUUUAGUUGUUAUACUUUUGUUAUUGGAAAUUAGUCUCUUUAUUUUUUAGAUUUUAAAUUUUAACUCUAUUUCCUAACACUGUUAAAAUUAUUUAGGUUAAAUUUAGCCCCGUACUUUAAUUUUGUGACAUUGAGUCCCUAUACUUUUUAUGGUUUGAAAAUAUUGGUGUUUUCGUUAGUUUUGCAAUUAGAAUGGUUGAUUUGGCUGUUAUAAAUAAAAUAAAAUAACUCUUUUAGCCCUCAUUAUUUACAGUUUUGUAUCAAUUUGGUCUUUAUUCUUUAAAAGUACUUAACCAAUUACAAAAAAAAAUUGUAUUUUCAAAAAUAUAUAAAAAUUGUGAAAAAUUAAAAAAAGCCUUUAAAUUUUAAAAAAUAAACAUAAUUUUAAAUAAUUUAAAAAUAUAUAAAAAUAUAAAAUUUUCCAAAAAUUCAAAAAAAAGUGUUAUUUACUUAGAAUUGUCCAUUAAUGGAGCCGAGUCAAGUUGUGGCCCAGGACCCAAAAAUUGUUCAAGCCCAAUCUUGUUUUCGACCCGCCCCAAUGCACCAAAAAGCUAAUUUCACUUCUCAAAAAUUCAUAAAAUAUUAAAAAUGUGUUUUUAUAUUAAUAUAAUUAUAUAUUAUAAUUACUUUAAAUUUUAGAAAUAUUUUUACUAUUUAAAUUGAAUUCAAACUGGACCGGCUUGACUAGGCCUAGGACAUUAAGAACUUUGUCCAAGCUCGGCCCAAGUCGGGCCAGGCGAAUUGUUUGGGCCAUGAACAUAUCUAUUAAUUUACUUCCUGAAUGAUAGUAAUGUCUCUUAAAACUUUGAGCUAUUCGUUUGGUCCAUAUUAAAUCAAAUUUGAACACAUUUUUUUAUUAUUAUCGAUCAGAUUAAUUAUAUGUCAAAAAUAUUUUUAUGCAAAUUUAAUUACAAAGUAUUUAGAAUAUUAGUAUAGAUUCAUUUUAAUAUUGAUACAAACUCUAAACCAGUUUAAAUUAAAUUUAAUAUAUUUUUUUUUGUUCAAAAUACACUAUAUUAAAAGAAUUUUAUAUAAAAAAAACCCAUUUUGAAAAAAAUACAAAGGCAAUAAAUGAAGUACUCAAAUUUUCAUUAAAAAAUUCAUGGUCUAUUUAUUAUAUAAGGACCUCCAAUUUCAAAUUUGAUGGCUAUUUAAUACCUUUAGCUAUUAGAACUCAACUUUUGCACUUAAUGCAAUUUAGUUCUCUUCAUCAAAUUAGGUAUGUAAACGGCAAAAUUUCUUAACGAAAUUUUUAUACGGCAUUUCUAUCAUACUGUAGACCAUAUAAUAAUAAUAAUAAUAAGUUUUUCCGACUUCGGAUUUGUGGUCCUGAAACCACUGUUCCAAUUUCACUGAAAACAGGCUGUUACACUACCGGUUGAGUUUUUUAGACUCCGCAAAUGGGUUGAUGGUGUCACAUUUAUUUAAUUUAUUUUUUUACUACACUUGUCAAAUCUCAACCUAUUUGUAGAGUCUAAAAAACAUGUAUGAAAUAAUUUUCCUUUUUAAGUGAGGUUAGAAAUUUGGAUUAAUAAUGCAUUAAACCAUAUUCGUAUAAUUAUUUAAAAUAAUAUUAAAAUCAUAUUGAAGAUGAUAUUUAUUCAUAAAUUUUGGCAAAAAACUAUUUUAUUAAAGAUACUUAUUUGACUUAUAAAAUUUCUGUUGGGUAGGCAACUAACUCAAUAAUGGGUAGAUAAAAUUAUAUUUCUAAAACUUUAAUUAAACCGUUGGUGCCUAUAAAUUAACAACAGGUUAGUAAUAAUUCAAAAAGUGGAUAUGGUUCAACCUUUCUAUAUUAAUUUGGUCUUACAUCAUGCAAAUCAAAGCUUAUAGGUUCCUCGAUUUUAAAAUCUGCAAGAAUUAAAACUAAUUUAAAAUCAUAUACGGUGCUAUUAUUUGAGGAGACAAAUUCUGACUACUGUUUCUUGUUCCUUCUAUGCUACUAAAAAAUUAUUACAACCAUAAAUUGCAGUACAAAUAAUACAUAAUUAAUCAUCCCAAUUUAAUUUGGAAUCAAUUUAGAUUAGAAAUUAAAAAAAAAAAAGUAACCUCAAACUCAUUCGAAUUUUGAAACUUGCAUUAAUUAAAAAUAGCAAAUGAUGUGAUUUGCCAACUUUUGAAGAUAAAUACCAUAAAAAUUCAAAGUGUGAAUGUAAGAAGAUUCUUUGAGAGCAACCCUAAUGGUUUAGAUAACAUCAAGACAUGAAUAGUUAUUGUAUGAUCCACUUGAUGAUGUAAAUUAAUUAUUAUUAACCAUUGAACUGUGGUGCUAACAUGCUGACAGCAUUAAUUUAUUUCUUCCAACCAUAUCAUUUUUAUUUUUAUUGAUUUUGGUAUUACCAAUUAAAAUACAUGAAAAGAAUAAAAACAAAGUCAUUGGUAUUUUUAGGAAAAAUAAAAUCAUAACCCUGCAUGCAGUUCUUUUAUUUUAACUCCUACCUAAUCCUGUCUCUUUUAAUUAUCAUUUGUGCUUAAUUCUCGUUACCCAUCAACCAUGAAUAGAGCUUGCCAAUACGUUUUUCUUCUCAAGUUUCACAACAUUACUUUGGAAUAUAAGUUGUAAUGUUUUUAGCUUACAUUCCAAUUUCCUCAAUCAACUACAUUUUACCAUUUCCAAGUGAAAAAGAAUUUGCAUUAAAAUUAUAUUUUUAAUUCCUUUUUAUGUAAAAUUCAAAGAAGGCUUUCAUUGAAUUAGUCAAGUUGAAAUUUUCAAAAAUUAUCGUGUGUGCAUCUUCUUUUUUAUAGAUUUCAUAAAGUAUAAAAAAAAAACACUCAUAUAAUAAUAUCAAUGGCUUUGUAAAAAGAAUAAAAUCUUAGUAUUUUCUUAAAUUUUAUAUAAAAAUAUAAAAUAAUUAAAAUAUCUUCAAAAUAAUAUUAAUUACUUGGUAAAAAAAUAGAUUUUUAAUUUCACAACUAAUUUAAUAUCUAACUCAAUCUAUCACUUACAUCAACGAAAUAAUGUGGGAAUGGAAUAAAUCACUUAAUAGAUUAAAGUGAAAAUAAAAUAGAAAUUUGUAAUAGUGUGUUCUAAAUAAUAUAUGAAAAUAACAAAGUUACCCUUAAUAUUUUUUAAUAUAAUAUUUAAUCACAUUAUAAAAAUAUAAUUAUGAUUAAUAAUAUUUUUCAUAAAAAUCAUAUUUAAUAAUCUAUGUAAAUGCUAAUAAUAUAAAUCAAUAAUGGUCCAGCAAUUCUCGUUUCUUCAAUUUUUUUCCACCCCAAAAUUCCUCGUAUUCUCCAAAAUUCUUAUUCUAGAAAAACUGAAAGAGAUUCCUGUUUUCAUUUUUCACCUUUCAUUAUUUUUUAUAUUUUUUCUCAUCUAUCCAUUCACACAUCCGAACAUCAAAGAAUAAAAAAAAACUUUUCAGCCAUUAUCAAAGUUUUAAAUCAACCAUUGUGGUUAAAAGAUAGAAAUGAAGACACUAUAACUAUUUAAUUAAGCCAUGUACUAAAUUAGAAAAUUGUGUUGGUGACCUAAAACCUAUUAAACCCGUUAUCGAAUAUGCUGUUUUUAUCUAGAAAUCAAUUUCUCUCCUUCUUUGGUGUUGAAAGUGGUUGAAUUAGUUAGAAGAUAAACUCACAUUUCUCAAUGCAAUGAUCCACAAUGAAUUGAUAAAAUAGGAUAGAAAAUACAACUUUUCUUUACAUAGGGUUGCUUGACAAGAAAGAUGAAAAAAUUGAAAGAAAAAGUAAUUUUCUCUUCACUAGUUACUUGGUAAAAUUAAAAAAAUAGGAAAGAAAACGAUUUUUUUAAAUGUAUAAGUUUGAGCUAAUAUAGGUUGUUCUCUUAUUUUCUUUUCUCUUAUCAUUUUAAUUUGGAACGAUUUAUUUUUAUACAUUAAAAUGAAAAAUGAUAAUCUCUUCUACUUUCUUUCCUCAUAAUUUCUUUUUUCAUUUUUUCAUUCUCUUUCCUUCCAUUUUUCCACUCAAUCAUUUAUACCCAUAGAUAAAUAAUUCUAGAGAAAAAACUAUUUUACAACAAUGGUGGGAAAGGACUGUCAGCCUUUUGAAGCCCAUAUGGAAUGGGCUUUCAUCAGCUCGAAACAUUUUCAUGCUUAGCCCAUUUUUUCCAGUCCUGACAAAAGAUAGCUAAAAAAAAAUUGUUCCAAGUUUAUCUUAUUUAUACAAUUUCAGUGGCAGUUAUAUCAGUUUAGAUUAAAAUGGCGGUUGCCGCUGGUGGAGCAACCACAGCAGGCGUACGUUUAUUUUCAGUUCCUCGCACUUUACCGGCUAUCAGGACUUCAUCAUUCGUGACAACGUUGUCUUUCUCGAAGUUGGGUUCUUUUCCAGGGCGGGUAAGAAGCAAUGAACCCGCAAGGAAGAAGCUUUUAGUUAUCCGAGCUGCAAGAACUGAGUCUCAAGGCGUUUCUCUUGGUUUCAGGGCUCCUAAUUUCCAGGUUUCUCCAUUACCAAUACAUUAAAAACUUUUUUACAUGUCGAACACUUGUAUUUUCUUUUACAAAUAUUUUGUUUCCUUUGGAGGGUAGUUGCCAGAGCCUCUGACUGGGAAGACUUGGACUUUGGAAGAUUUUGAAUCAUACCCUGCUUUGUUGGUAAUGGCCCAUUUAUUUUCUUGCAAUAUUUAUUCUGUUUCGGUCCUUUGUUCUGGUUUAUUGUGGUUAUGCUUCUUUGGGUUAAAAGGUUUAUGAGUUUUAUCCUUUAAUUAUCUAUUAUAUGGUGUUACUUGCUAUUGACUGGGAUUACAUUAAAUAUAGUUAACGUAGGUUUCUUUUGUGGAAUUUGUAAAUUAAAGGUAUUUUUAGGUUUUGGGAUUUUCAAGUUGAUUUAUUGUACAUAGUUGAAGGAAUGUUAACACUUUUCAAGUGUUUCAAUUAGGAAGAGAUGUGAAAUCCCUGCUUGUUUUCUUAAUUUAUUGAUUGGAAUUUCAUGAACUGAGCAAGAGGUGAAAUGAUUGCAAAUGGGGAUCACUGUCAGGUUGGAAUAUGUACUUUUGGUCUCAUUGUUCUUUAUUUAUAUAGAGCAAUGCCUCAGUAUUUGGAGGAGGAUGGUUUUCUUGUCAAGAGAUUUGACAAAAUGAAUAAUUAGAACCGAGCCUUUUAACAAUGGCAGGCAAAGAUACAAUAUAACAGUUGAAACUAACCUGGCGUUCAGAAUUACAUAUUAGAAGAGAUAAUUUGUUCAGAUUAGAAGAUGUAAGCAGUUAUUAGCAUAAAUUAUGAUCAUCUUUCCUUUUUCUUUUUGGAUUCUUGACUAUUGUGACAUUUCUUCUCCUUACUGAAGUAUAUAUAAUCAUAAGAUUUGUAGUAAUAUGUUCUUUUGCAGGUUAUGUUUAUAUGCAACCACUGCCCAUUUGUUAAGCACCUGAAGAAGGAUAUUGCGAAGCUUUCCAAUUUCUAUAUGAAGGUAACUAAGUGCCCUUCCACUUUCUGAGUUUUUCAGCUUGCUUUAUUUCGUGUUAUUAAUGGAACUUGGAAAGAUAAAUGACUGUACAACAAUCCAAAAUUUAUUGCACUCAAUUGCAGAAAGGGCUGGCUGUUGUUGCAAUAUCUUCGAAUUCUGUAGCCACUCACCCACAGGUUCCACUGAUCCCCUAAUUUGAGAAUAGAGAUGCUUUGAAGCUGUUUGUAUGAUUUCUCCAGAUGAACUUUUGUUCACAGGAUGGACCCCAAUUCAUGGCCGAAGAUGCUAAGCUAUAUAAUUAUCCUUUCCCUUAUCUAUAUGAUGAGGUAUAAUUAUCUUAAUUUAUUUUUACUUCCAUUUUUGAGAUUUAGAAAUCUGGCACAUUUCUUCCGGUAUAUCUUUUCUGUCUUUUGACAUUUCAUACAUGUGAAUAGAAUAAGUUUGCUUUGUAAUUGAUUUUCUCCUUCCAUGAUUCUUAUUGAUUAAGUUGAAUAUGUUUUAACCUCAGACACAAGAUGUUGCAAGAGACUUUGGGGCAGUCUGUACACCAGAGUUUUUUCUAUUUAAAAAGGUGAUCAGGAUCUGCUUUAACUUAACAUCAAAUUGUUGGUUUUGCUCUUGAAUUACCUUAGUAGAUGACAACCAUCCUUGAACCAGGUCGGCAGUGAUAAGUAGUAGUCUGCCUUGGAGGCCAUAUACCAAGGGUUGAAUGUUACAAAUUUGUGAUUUAUCACAUUGUAAUCCACUUAGAAGAUUGUGGGAUGAGUCUUGGGGAUCAUUUUGAAGAGUCUUUAAAAUAAUAACUGUAUUGACUUAGUUAAGCUAUCCCUUUGAAACAGGACGGUAGGAGGCCAUUUGAGCUGGUAUAUCACGGCCAAUUUGAUGAUUCCCGGCCAAGUAAUAGUGUUCCUGUUACUGGAAGGUUUGGUUUUAUGAAUUUCAGCUUAAUAUGCUUUAAUAAUAUGAGGACUUGUUCCUGUUGCAGUGGUAAACAAAUCUGCUUGGUUUAAUCAUUUGUAGGGACUUAAGCCUUGCUAUAGACAGUGUUCUAAGUGGCCAACCAGUGCCAUCAGUUCAGAAACCAAGGUGCAUUCUUCCUUAAGUAGUUUGUUAUUAUUAUUUUUAAACAUUUCAAGUUUUGAGUCGAUGGAUUUCCAACUAAAAGUGAUUAUUUCCCUUUGGAACAGUGUUGGAUGCAGCAUAAAGUGGCACCCACAGAAGAGUUGGUAAUCUGCAAAAACCUUUUCCAGUUAUCUGAUGAAUAUAUAUAAUCAAAGUGGCAUCCGCAUUUCUAUGUUUUUGGUGGAAAUAGAUGACAUUGGAACCUACUUAUUUUCCUGAAAUAAAGGCUUUCAUAGUACGUGCUUUGGAUUCCUGGAAGCAGAAAGGUUUAACAUGUAAUUUUGUAUAUAUAAAAUUCUUUGGCAUACAGAUAAAAAAGCUGUUACCAAUGUCGGCAUGCAAUAAUCAUCUGUUAUUAAUUACUUGGGUUCUGACUCUGAGAAACAUUAGAAGACUGAAAUGGUAGCCUAAGCUAUCAAUAGGCCUAAGAUUGAGUACACAUGACUAGGAGCAAUGCACCCUUUCAAGAACACGAUGUUGCCUGCCUGGGCCAAAAGAGGUAACUUCAAGUCAUUAUCUUUUGCAUCGCAACUCAUUUGGAUGUCAUCAAAGCAUGACAAAUUAUAUAUAAGAUGUGGAAUAAUUAGUAAAUUCGAAACAUGAAAUAAUAAAUCUAAAUAAAACAAACAAGAAUGUCAAAACCUGAACUUUUAAUUUAACAUGCAAGUAGAAAUUCAAGGUGUAUAAAAUCUCUAUUUAACUUUUGGUAAAACAAAAUCUCAUCUAAAUAAAACCUUAGACAAUUAAUAAUCAAGAUUGGAAUGCACAAUUUUUUAUAUAUAACGAAAAAGAAAAUCUUCAAUCCUUGCAAAGAAAUGCACAAAGACAAUCUUAUUCAAUUCUUGAAUUUCAACUAUUAUAGUAGUUUACAAAUGACUUUUAAAUUGGUAGAAAAUAAUGAUGAAAAUAAGUCUAAAAUCUAGAUAGAAAAAAAAGAGAAAGGAGUGUAUGAAAUAGUGACGCCACAUCAUGUGUAUUUUUUUUAAUAGUUUAAUGUCACAUCAGCGUUUUCAUCCUAAUUUUUUCUAUAAAAGACUCCUACAAUAAUAAAAGAAGAAAUUAGAUUGAAAUAAUUUAAACAUGAUUACUGAAUCACAUGAUAGGCGCAUACCGCCAUGAAUGAAUUACUUAUUUGGCGCAUGCAUUAUAAUUACUGUAACACUCUAAACUCGGCCUAAACGUUACGGUCGGAUUAUGAGGGUUACAUCAUAUGUGAAAAUGCUAAUGUUUAGCUUUGGUGAAAAGUUCAUUUUAACUUAAAGGGAAAAAAAACAGAAUUGAUUAAUACAUUAAAACGCUUACAUUCUGACAAACUCGUAAGUACUUUGAUGAAAACCGCUGUAAUACCCAAUUUUAGCCCGGGCUUAAAUAAACAAAGGUCCCCAGUCCAUUUAAAAUCUUAAUUUACGUGGCCCAAUUACAAAUGUUACAAGCCCAAAUUGCUAACCCUAUUCUGCUAGUCCAAAAUACAAAACAGAGGCAGAAAGAAACCCUAGCAGCUAGCAGCAAAAUCAGCAGCCACACCCCACACACGUCACAAUAACCGUCGCACGUUCUCCUUCCACGCCGCGCACAAUGCCUGUACCUGCAACAAAAAGAACCACGAGCAGCAAGCAAGAGAAAAAACCAAAAAUAUAGCAAUUUGUAAAGAUAUUUGGCUAUAAAAAGCCAAUUGAUUUAUGUAAUAGGAGUUAGAAAAUUUUGUACUAAAAAAACUGAAAGAAGAAAAAUACAAGAGAAAAAAAGCAAGGAUUUUAAAGGUACAGAUUUUGUUCUUUUUCUUUCGGUUCUUCUACUGUCUUGGUUUUCUUUUGUUUUCCUUUUAUUUCUAAAAAAAAUAAACGAAGAGGGGACGAAAAGGGAAGACUUACCGUUCUGAAUCGUCGGAGGGAGUCCCUGAUUCAGCGACUUCUGAUCGGAAAUGGAAAGGAUUUGGAGCGGAAGAGAAAGGAGGCUGCGGCGCAAAUCUUCAAAUGGCAGAAGGGAAUUGAUUUUAGGGUUCUAAAAUGGGAUUUUAUAGGGUUCAAAAUGGGCCAUUUGCACUAUUGGUCCUUUGUUUUUUUUGGGUGAUUAAAUCAGUUUUUUUUAUAUUUUUAAAUUAGGCAAUAUAUUUUAAUGCUGUUUUAGUCCAAUCCAUGCUGCUGCGCGGUGCUUGAGCGAUUUGGAUAAUUUUCUCUUUUGAUCCUCCUUCUGUUACGCGUGAUUUAAUUUGCUCCUUUUCUCAUUUUCCAUUUUCGAAUUCAGCCUUUAAAUUCUAUUUAUUUUCAACUUAAUCCUUAAUUUGUUAUGUUAAGUUUUUUUAAAUAUAUUAUUAGUAUUGUUUA